GGAAGAAGCCAUGUUUCUUUGAUGCCUCAGAGACGAGUCUAGUAGCCUCCGAGACCAAGACCGAGUCGCCGGAGAGGAAACCAGCGAGGUCUAUUAGAGGGACUUGGAGAGGUUGAACAUCAUCGGUAGGUUUCUCGUGGUCAGGCCAUACGAACUGUUGAGGUAUGUGGUUUGACUGCUGAUUCAGGAGAUUUGCAUCGAAGUUAGAAGGAUCCUCUUCGGUUUUGUUUUCAUUGAAUCUCUGAGGGCGAGUUGCGAUGCACUCCAUUGCCAUUUAUGUAUAUGUAUAGAUAUACUAGUGGAAAUGAAAGAUCCUUUACAGGUUUCUUUUAAGAUAUAUAUAAAUUACUAACGUUAAGAGGCUUAUUUUUUUAGUGGUUGUCUAAGUGGAGAAGCAAAGAGUGAUAUUUAUAGGUGUGUGAGAGAAGGUUAGAACAUCUCCAACUCUAAUCUAUUUUCUUUUCUAAAAUAGAGUUUAUAGUAAAAAUAUUUUAAUAGCACUCAAUUUUUUAUUCUAUAAUAGUGUAAAUCUAUUUUUUAUUCUAUAUAUAUAUAGUAAUUGUUUUAUUUUUUAUUUAUCACUCUAUUUUUUACUCUAAAAUAGAGUAUUGGAGUAACAUCCAAUUUGAGAUGGUCUUAGGCGUAGGGAAUACUAAUCAGUGUUUGUGUGUAUUCGUUUUUUAAAAUACUUUGUCUUUAUUAGUGUGUCUAAUCAAAACCUUUGUUUUUAUUCCUUUUAUUAUAUACAUUUUCGUUCUAUUUCAUACAACUUGUCUCUUUCUCUUUAUCUUUCAAUCAUCUAACUUUAGUUACUUAAAUGAUCAUAUAAUAGUACAGUAAAGAAGUUUUUUAAAAAUUAGGGUUGAACCAGUAACCAGUAGGACACAGUAUUAAUGUAUCUCAUUGUGAAAAAUAGUCAAACUUCUAAAACGUUGGCGGUAAAAGUACGAUUUAUUAUUGAGUCGAGGGACUCAAACCUGCUGGCUACAAUAAUACAAGAGCCGUCCGUUAGAACGUUCAUCAAAGAACCGACCGUUUCAUCAUUUGUGAGGCCCAUCACAACGUUAAUAACAAUGCCAGAUGAUAUUAGCUGAAUGGUGAGAAUUAGAAAAGUAAUUUUAAAGAUAAGUUGAAUUUUUUUCUUAGUUACUAAAAGCUCUUAUGAUAUCCGGCAGAUUCUUAGAACAUUUCCAAUUGGAGGUUCUAUUCAUUAGAAUUCUAAAAAUGCAUAUGUAUAUAUGUAUAUAAUAUAUAUAUAUAAUAUAUAUAUAUAUGUAGUUGUGGAAUCCAUUGCUUUUGUAAAGAACCUCAUCCAAAGUAAUGAACCCUACAACUAUAUAUAUAAUAUACUUAUACACAUAUACAUUUUUAGAACUAUACAUAUUUAGAACUCUAAUGGAUAAAACAUCUAUUAGACUCUUAGUGUUUAAGAUUCAAACCUUUUUGUGGCUUAUUUGUCGUCCCCUGUAUUUCAGUCUAAAAUUCUGUUUUUUUUUUCCUGUUGAACUAGUGAACUCCAGACGUAAGAAACAAAAAAGAACCGAAUGUUUUAUAAUGUCAAAGCUGAGAAAAAUAACAUGCUUAUUGGCUUAUGUAUAAAAAAUGUUUUUGGUGUAAAAAGUAAGUAAAAGAAUGUUAACACGUUCUAGUUAACAUUGCUGUUUAGGACGAAAUGCUGUAAGCAAGCAUAAAUUUGGCUGACACUGACAAAAAAAUAAAUAUCCAACACAUUUUAAGUUAAUUUGAACAUACUAAAAAACAUUUUAAGAAAUAUAUGGCAAGGCCACACGAUAUUUAUUUGGCGCAUGGUAUAUAAAUGUUUAUUAAUGAAUGUAGUAAGCUUUUCUUAAAAUUAUGUAAAGUUUAGUUAUUGAAGUAAAAAAAAUUUGGUCACAUUUUAAGAUUUGAAGUCAAUUAUUUCAACUGAUAUGUUCAGUAAAAAGGGUUUUGUCAACAGAUUUCUGGUUUCUUUUUUUCUUUUUGAAAAAAAGGAUUUCUGGUUUCUUAUAAAGAUUAUUGAAUGUGUUGUGUAAAAACAUCAGUGUUAAACCAGUAUAAAAUCAAGUAUACAAUGGUCGAACUACACACAAAAAUAUAAUGAUAUGUACUAUUUGAUAAACAAAUACAAAACCCGACAGCUGUAAUAAUACACAAAAUUCAAAUAAUAUAUCCAUUUUUUUAUUAUGUAACAAACAAAAAAAACCAUUCUUGUUGGUCUUAUAACUUACGAUUUUUUAUACAUAUUGAUGAUGAAAAAAAUACACCGACCAUUAUGAUUGUAUUAGUAAGAUAUUAUGACAAAAAUAAACAAGUGAUAAAUUUAAAAGAUAACUGAAAGGGUUAGGGUUGUCUUACUGUGGAGAGUGUGGCAGUACAACAUUUUCAGUGAUGUCUGUGAGUGACACACAUCUUCAAGGCGCAUGGAGAUGCAUAUGUUUUCUCUCGCGUUUACUGGUUUUGGUAGUAUUUGGAGAAAGAGCUAUGAAUUCAUUUAAAUUCUCUUCUACAUAAUAUUUAAUUUGGGAUGUAUAGAAACGGACACUACCAAUUUAACGUAACCAUCUUCUUUAGACUACACGUUUCCAUCCUCGAGCACAUCGAUUUGGUCUUUUGUGAUAGGUCUUGUUCUUUGUGUGCCAAUUGUCAAAUACCUAACACUGAUAUCUUUUGUUUACCGUCUAACUGCAGAAUAAAAGCUUCUCUGUCUAACUGAUAUUAUCUCAUUUGAGGAAGUUUAACAAAAAUCCAAGGUCAAGGGAAUACAUAAAGUUUUUAAGAUAAAACUUGUUUAAACGUAGAAGAUUCCAGUAAUACAAACUUGCUGAUCAGGAAAUAGUGAAUAGAGUAUUAGGAUAACUAUGUUAUUAUGUUAAGGAUAACUCUUGUGUUAGAGAUAAGUCCUAUACGAGAUAAGGAUGACCAAUGUAUAUCAUCUCCUAUAAUCUCUCCUUGUAAACUCUAUAUAUAGAGUACGUAUUGUGAUCAAUAAUAUUCAAGCAAUUGCAAUACAUCUUUUAUGGUAUCAGAGCACCUUUCGAUCCAUUAAAUUUUUUUUACAUCAACAGAUGUCUUCAGAAUCGUCAAACUCAGGCUUUAUGCCCUCAACAGCAACACGCACGGCAGUCUAUGAUCCAGCCAACCCGGCAACCAAUCUACUUGCCGUCAACAUGUCAAACAUCACACGUUUGACCAAUGUCAAUUACCUCAUGUGGAGCAGACAAAUUCAAGCUCUACUUGAAGGACAUGAACUACACAGCUUCCUUGAGAAAACAAACUCAACACCAGAGGCAGUCAUCAACAACAAUGGGCUUGUGGAACCAAACCCGGCCUACGCACCAUGGCGUCGUCAAGACAGACUCUUGUACAGUGCCAUUAUUGGAGCCAUAUCUCUUCCAGUCCAGCCCUUGGUCGCGAGUGCUACCACAACUCAUGAGGUUUGGAGCACACUCAACCUCAUCUUUGGAACACCAACUCGAGGACACAUCAAACAACUCAAGUAUCAAAUCAAGAGUUGUACCAAAGGAACCAAAACGAUCAGUGAAUAUAUGCGCACCAUCAAAACCAAAUCUGAUGAACUUGCGCUUCUUGGCAAACCUCUUGAUGCUGAAGAUCUGAUCGAACAAAUCCUAGCUGGACUUCCAGAAGAGUACAAAUCAGAGAUCGAUGCUGUCAAUGGCAGAGAUAGCCUGAUCUCAUUCUCUGAACUCACAGAGAAAUUACUCAACCGAGAAGCGGUGAUUGUGUGUGAUCAACCAAAUACACCAUCCUUUCCGGUCACAGCCAAUGCAGUCUCAAAAAGCAACAACAACAACAACAACAACCGUGGUCCCUGGAAACCCUCAUUCACACCUCGCAACAACAACUACACCAACAAUAACAACUUCAACUCCAACAAUGGUGGUCGUGGACCUCGCCCAUACCUCGGUCGCUGUCAAGCUUGUGGUAUCCAAGGUCACAGUGCUCAACACUGUCCUUCCUUCAAAAUUGUUGCUACUGAUACAGUGUCACACGCCAACAACAACUCUCAUUGGCGACCAAUGGCACACACUGCUUUUGUCAACGCACAACACCCUGAUGCUUGGCUGAUGGACAGCGGAGCUUCUCAUCAUGUUACAUCAGACAUGAACAACUUGGCGUCUCAUGUGCAGUACUCCGGACCUGACGGAGUUGUGGUUGGUAAUGGUGCAACUCUACCAAUCACGCAUACCGGUUCACUCUCUCUCAAAUCACCCUCCAGAGACUUUAGUCUUAACAAUGUUCUUUAUGCACCAUCUAUGCAAAAGAACCUUAUUUCAGUGAAUCGCUUUUGCAAAACUAACAAAACUUCGGUGGAAUUCUUUCCACAUAUGUUUCAGGUGAAGGACCUGCAAACGGGGACACCGGUACUAACCGCACCAGCUAAUGGAAAUGUGUAUGAAUGGCCUCCUGGACAGCCUCGCACACCUCUUGCUUUAACCACUACAACCUCUUCUUCUUCUUUAGACUGGCACCAUCGCCUUGGUCAUCCGGCUUUUCCUGUUUUACAAAAGAUUUCUUCGAGUUUUUCCCCUGGUUUUUCUUGUCGUAAUCUCAAUUCUUCUCACUGCAAUGCGUGUUCAAUCAAUAAAAGUCAUAAGUUACCCUUUCAUGACACAUCUAUAUCUUCUUCACGACCUUUACAAGUCAUUUUUUCUGAUGUGUGGUCGUCCCCUAUACAUUCAUUUGAUGGUUUUAAAUAUUAUUUACUCUUGGUCGAUCAUUUCACUCGAUAUAUGUGGUUCUUUCCUCUCAAGCUUAAGUCGCAGGUUGCAGCCACAUUCAUAAAGUAUAAGCAGCUGGUCGAAACACAAUUCAACACCAAAAUAGCAACACUAUACACGGACAAUGGUGGAGAGUUCAUAGCACUCAGGUCUUUUCUUGCGGACAACGGCAUCUCCCAUCUAACAACACCGCCGCAUACUCCUGAACACAACGGCUUGUCCGAACGACGUCAUCGCCACAUUGUCGAGACUGGACUGGCCUUGCUCACUCACGCCUCGAUCCCCACUCAUUACUGGACGUACGCACUUGCUGCUGCUGUCUAUCUCAUCAAUCGCAUGCCAACAAAAGUACUGUCCAUGGAUUCACCAUAUCUACGUCUCUUUGGAGCUUCACCAAACUACUCAAAGCUACGUGUUUUCGGCUGCUUAUGCUACCCGUGGCUGCGACCCUACACGACAAACAAGCUUCAGCCACGAUCGACUCCCUGUGUCUUCUUGGGUUACUCCCUUACUCAAAGUGCUUAUCUUUGUUUUGAUCCUACAACCUCACGUAUGUUUAUUUCUCGACAUGUUCUUUUUGUCGAGAACAAGUUUCCUUUUACUUCUCUCACAGCUUCAACCCCCCCGCUUGAGGACAACCAAGAGGCUGCGUGGAUGCCGGUGGUUACACCAACUCCUCAUCACCAAGCACUAGUACCGGAGUCUCCCACUGCAGAUCAUUCACCGGCUGCAACACCAACAACUACAACUUCUGGUGAACCCACAUCAGCCACAACUACACCACCAACCUCAACAUCAUCUGAAGAUCAACCACCAACAACAGAGUCCUCUGGUGGCAUCACAGAACAUGACAAUGCAACGGCACUCACACAACAACCACAACACCAAAUGGUGACUCGAUCUCAGAAUCAAAUAGUCAAGCCAAACCCAAAAUAUUGCUUAAGCGCAACACUGGCUCCUUACAUUGAACCGAACACAAUCCAACAAGCACUAGCUGAUGAAAGAUGGCGCAAAUCAGCAUGUGCAGAGUUCAAUGCAGCAAUAGCCAACCACACAUGGGACUUGGUUCCUGCAGAAGAAGCUACAAACAUCAUUGGCAACAAAUGGCUCUUCAGGAUCAAAUUUAACGCCGAUGGUACAGUUGACAAACUCAAGACACGUCUAGUUGGGAAAGGAUUUCAUCAACGUCCAGGCAUAGACUAUCAUGAGACCUUCAGCCCAGUCAUCAAAUCCCCCACCAUCCGACUCCUCCUUGGACAAGCUGCUAAAUAUAACUGGCCAAUCAAGCAGCUUGACAUCAACAAUGCCUUCCUUCAAGGCACGCUAACAGAGGACGUCUACAUGGUUCAACCAAGUGGCUUCAUUGACAGAGAUCGACCUAACCAUGUGUGCAAGCUCAAUAAGGCGCUAUAUGGUCUGAAGCAAGCGCCUCGAGCCUGGUACACAGAGUUGAAGAACUACCUGCUAAACCUUGGGUUCAAGAACUCCAUUGCAGAUGCCUCAUUGUUCUUCUACAUUGCCAAAGACACCUACCUAUUUGUCUUGAUCUACGUUGAUGACAUCAUCAUCACUGGCAACUCAGAUGAAAAGAUCCGUGGACUAAUCAACACUCUGUCCGCACGAUUCUCCCUUAAGGACCUCAGUGACUUGUCCUACUUCCUUGGCAUUGAGGUUCUUCGAACACAACACGGCAUUCAUCUUUCUCAGCGAAAGUACAUUGGAGAUCUUCUCUACCGUAACAACAUGACUAACGUCAAACCUGUUCCUACACCCAUGAGUGCAUCAACGAAUCUAUCCAUACGAGAUGGACAUACACUGGACAACCCAGCUGAGUAUCGAACAUUAGUUGGGAGCCUUCAGUAUCUGCUUCUUACAAGACCGGAUAUUGCCUUUGCAGUCAAUAAACUCUCCCAGUUUAUGCACAAACCAACAACUACACACUGGACCGCUGCGAAACGAGUAUUACGCUAUCUGGCUGGCACAUACACAUCGGGCAUCUUCCUCUCUCGCUUCAGCAAUCUAUCACUUCACGCAUACUCUGAUGCUGACUGGGCAGGCAACAAAGAUGACUACACUUCUACUGGAGCUUAUGUUGUCUUCCUUGGUCAGCAUCCCAUCUCGUGGUCUGCUAAGAAGCAAACAGGCGUUGCCAGAUCUUCCACAGAAGCUGAAUAUCGAGCUGUCUCUGCAGCUGCAUCUGAAGUUCGUUGGCUCUUCUCAUUACUACGUGAAGUUGGCGUCAAGGUAGACUCAGUUCCUACCAUUUACUGUGACAAUGUUGGGGCCACAUACCUGAGUGCAAACCCGGUGUUCCACUCAAGAAUGAAACAUUUAGCUCUCGACUAUCACUUCAUCAGGGAACAAGUUCAGAAAGGAACGCUACGGGUUACUCAUGUAUCGUCUAGGGAUCAACUCGCUGAUGGCUUAACCAAACCAUUACCAAGGACUCGGUUUGGAACGCUUUUUACCAAGAUUGGUAUCACUAACCGUGCACCAUCUUGAGGGGGGAUAUUAGGAUAACUAUGUUAUUAUGUUAAGGAUAACUCUUGUGUUAGAGAUAAGUCCUAUACGAGAUAAGGAUGACCAAUGUAUAUCAUCUCCUAUAAUCUCUCCUUGUAAAUUCUAUAUAUAGAGUACGUAUUGUGAUCAAUAAUAUUCAAGCAAUUACAAUACAUCUUUUAUAGAGAAAGUGUAAACCCUAAUUAAUAAAAAAAUUAUUUCGAAUAAACCAUUAUUCAUUCACUCAUAUGUGGUAUAGUGUGAAUAAGUUGAAACCUAAACUACGCCUUGAUGAUUUUUUUCUCUACAGAAAAAUAAGGUAUAUAAUUUAUAUAUUCUUUGAAAUGAACGGUUUUACCACUAUGAGUUUAUCACUAUGAAUUUUAAAUUAAAUUCUAACUCCUAAAUAUAUAUCAUCCUAAGUCAGUUUAAUUAAUUAGAAGCUGACAAGUGAUGCGAAUAACAUGCUAAAUUAAGCUCGAUUUUAUAUUCAAAACACAUUAAACAGAAUGUUUGUUCCAUACAUAAUAUUUAGACUAUGAUUAUCGUUAGUCUGCGAAAAUAUGCAGUAGCUGAUUAACAUCAAAUAUUCGUAAACACUUUUCAACUACUUUUGGAUGAAUGGUAGAAGUAUUUACGUAGCACACUUUUCAAUUAAAAUUAUCUGUAAAAUAUUUAUACCAAAAACUAACAAUGACGCACGAAGUGAUGCAAAUUCAUUUGCGUGAUUCGAGAAUAAUUGACGUCAGAAAAUAAAAGUGACACCAAUUCAUCUGCUGUUGAUUUGUAGUGCGUCAAUCGUUGAACAAAAUAACUUAUACGAUAAAAAAACACCAACAGUUUUAACAUGAUUUAGUCCAUAACAUGCACACUCGCGGAUCCAGAAAUAUUUUUAAUCGGGACAGUAUAUAUUUAUAAAUUAAUUAUUUUUAAUCAAUAUAAUAAUAUACAAUAAAAAUAACUAACAAAAUUAAGUUUAAAUUUGGUACCAGUAUAUUAUACAAAAAAAACUAAUGUUAAACUAUUUUGGAUUUUAAAAUUUUGAUUUUAAUAUUUCUUUUUUUUUAAUAAUGUAGGUGUCUUAUUGUCUUAUUUUUUUUAAAUAACAUGCACCAUAUUUUAAACCUCUUUCCACCCAAAAAAAUAAAAAUUUUGAACUUUUUUUUUCUUGCAGGUGCAACAUAGAAAACCAUUUUUUUCUCAAAAAGAAAACAUAGAAAACCAUUUUAUCCCGCACAUGAAUUGUCAGCCCGUAUCCAGAGCCACAAGCCACGGGCCUACGAGGCUUUGGCGACCUACCAGGUUUAAUUUGCAAGAAAUCGAACGCAACUCUACCAAAAGUUUAAUUUAAUAAUUAAAUAGAAAUAAAACUAAAAAGGCGCGCACACACACAUAUAUGUUGAGUACAUAUCCAAUCUUAGUGAAUCUUUUGAAUACAUGUUGAGACACCGAAAAGGUGGACCAUAUCCAAUCUUCUCACUGUAGCCUUCAUUUUUGAAAGGACGGGCAAGCCAAUUUGCCUACAUUUUACCUAACAAAAUUAUGACAAACGAUUUUUAUUAAUAACUUUUGGAGGAAAUACAAUUGGAUAAUGUGUGUGUAAGUCACUUUGGGUAUCUAAAAAUGACGAAUUGUCUUAUCUUCGUCCUUUAAUUAGCACUACAACUAGUAAAUCUUGUAGAAGUCCUUUUUGAUCCACUUGGUCACUUUGUUUGUACAAAAGUGUCGAGACUAUACUUGAUCUAAUAUCUUGUUCUUUGUUGAUGCUUACCAGUGACCUAUACAAUAUGUGAUGUUGGAUUCGCCAUACGGGAAGCACCAUUUUUGAACGAAAGUGAUUUUAGAGAAAAAAAUUAAGUCAUCCGUAUCAAGUCUUUUAUCAUGAACUUUACCAAAAAAUAUUAAUAUUUAAUUAGAUUUUUUUUUUUAAGUUUGAGAAAUUCAUGUCAAAGUCUCUAAUUGAGAUUUUUAAUUAAAAUAUUAUUACCACACUAUACUCGAUAGAUUUCUAAUGCAGAUGCUCUUAUAAGAGGCCACAAACUGUCUUUUUGUUGACUUCUUACCCAUCAAUGAUUUCUGAAAUUAGUGUGGUUACUGGUUAGUGACAUCGAUGGACAUUUUCCUUAUGCGUACAGUAUUGUAAUAUGCAUAUCAUACAUGGUAAUUUGAACUACUGAUCCAUCACUGUAUAAUCAAACUAUAUAUAUGUUUAGUUGCAUUACCUACUACCAUUAACGGUGACUACAGUGAUAUUACAUAUACGUUGACAUGUAUUACAAAAAUAACAUUGUCCAUAUUUCCAUAACCGUACCGAUUAAAGAACCUUUUUCCCAUUUACUUAUAUUGAUUUAUUUAUUAUUACCGAAGUAAACAAUCAGUAUGCUGUGGUUAAUUUGUAUUUUGUAUUUCGUAUUAUGACGAUGUUCAGAGACCAAAUAGAUAGUUUUCAACAAAAAAGUUUAAAGAUAUCAUAUAGAUAUGGCCUCCGUGUUACAAGUUCGGAUAUAGCAUUUUCACAAUAGUGCUGAGAUAUUCAUAGGCUACAUAUCCCACUAAUUUAGGGCUUUGUUUAUUUAUUUAGUGUAUUACUAUUGUUUAGGCCCAAGUUAAGAGUAGUUCCGCCCUUAUCUUCAAUGGAUUUCUAAUGGUCAGCAGUCAGCAUUACGAAAACAAAUAAAUCGAUACCAAUCAAUAUAUAGUUAAUAUGAUUUAUAUUUUAAUUUUUAAUACAUUUAUAUACUAUUAAUUAUUUGAUUUGUUUAAAGUCAACUUUUCUUGCUGACAAAAAAAAAGAAGUCAACUUUUCUUAUAUCCGUACAUCCGUACCGCGGUGCUAUCCGUAACUGCUAAUAAUAGUCGAAACGUAAAAGAUUUGAUAUCCUUAAAUGCGUGACAGUAGAUGAAAGAAACUUAAGUAAAGAUCAUUUGUCCGCUUGCGGUACUAAACGCAAAAUCCAUUUGAUGUACACACGAGUGCCAAAUAUUAUUUUAAUUGGAUUUCUUUCCUUUUCAAAGAAUAUUAGAUUAAGCUAAUGAUAUAGUAAAACAAGGUAUGAUGGUGGAAGCCAUUAGAAAAUCUACAGUGGAAAUUUAAUCUAAAUAUUAAUUAAUUAAUUAAUAUUUAAUGUUUAAAUAAAUUUUGAAUCAUUUAUAGGCAUACAUGUAUCAAAAUAAUUUCUUAUGAAUAUCUCAAAGUAUUUUACUUGGGAAACUCUUCUGAUUUUCUUUUAUUUUCUAUUUUCCUUAUUUUUAUUGAAAAAUACCUAUAACUAUCCACUACUUUAAUGUCAUAAAAUCUUAAUUAUCCUUUGCUUGUUGCUGAAUCUGCAAAAAAAGGCGGAGGGUUAAAAAUCUGCAUUUUUCUAUUCUACCAACCCACAGUUUUGUUAGAAUGAGAAUUAUAUCAAUGAAACUUCAAAUAAGAAACAAGUGCGUAUAAGCUUGUCUGAUCUAUGAAAAUUUAAAAUAAUGACUUACUUUUAUCUAUUUGUAAGUUAUAUUUUAAGGGUUUUAAUUUAAAUAAAAAACAUAGUGUAGUUUUUCUGAAAACUAUGGAUUAAAACCACUAUCUCACAAAUAAGAAGAAGCAUACGUGUUCUUUGGUAAAAAUCAAUUCGUGGAGAAGCAUACGUGUUGGUAAAUAAAAUGGGAGUAAUCAUACUUCCUUUAGUUCCUUCAGUACUAAAACUGUAAGAACAAAACAACUGGAGAAUUCAUACCCUAGUCCACACUCCACACGCGCUCCGAUCUUAGGAUGAAGCUCCUCAUCCUAAACUAUUCACACUACGAAUAUCCGCUAUGAGAUGAUCAAUAUCUUACUCAUGUCAAUAUGUCAUCAUGUGACCUUUUACCACUUCCCCCAAAUGCUUGAAACUUUACCAUUUCAUACAUGUUCAAAAGAAAGACCAUCUCUUGAUCACAGAGAUGAAAACAUAAUAAGAAAAUUGAAACUUUACCAAUAUCUUAGUAAAAAAAGAUUGUUCAUUAUCCUUCUAGAGCACAAAUCUAGACUAUCCUGCUUUAUCCGAUUAUUUCAUACGUUACAAAACAUUCUGGACCAAUGAGAAACCUCAGAAACUUAUAAACAUAUGUACCUUUCAUCCCGAACAAUCAAAAUUGAUUUAAAAACAAAACUAAUCCUAUAAUGUUUAGGAUAAUUAAUUUUCCCUUAAUCGCUUUCGCCUUCUUGCUCUCAAAUGUCGCAUUAACCAAAAAAUGUUCAACAUUCACUGUUAGAGCUGAUAUUUUCCUGAACGGUAGUUGAUUAACGCUGAUUGUUAUUAGUAUUAACCAUAUUAAUUCAUUACUUAAGUUUUUUCCUGAUUAUCAAACCAAUGUCAACAUACUUUAGUUUUGCCAUAACUGGAAACCCAUUAACUUUUUACAUGCUCAUUUCUCUUUCUAAUUUCAAACCACUUUUUGUUUUCCUUAAUUGAUUAACUACAAAGUACUGGAGCCUAUUGGAAUACAUUAACAGUCAUUGUCUUGCAUGCAACUAACCUUUUCACUUUCUGUUGCAUAUGUGUUAUAUUCGAUUCUUCAUUAAUUGUAAGUGUUUCCUUAACGGACACUUUUUCACGUACGUCUAUACAAAACGGACGAUAGUUUUGACAAUUAGAUGUUAAGAAAAACUGACAAGAUUUCAAAAAAAAAACUGACAAGAUUUUGACUUUUGAUUAAAGGCGAAAAGAAGCAGACAUCCCUAACAAAUAUUAAAUAAUUAUUACUAAUGUAAUAUUCUAAACGAAACUUUCAUUUUAAUAGAACAGAGCAGUAAGUAUUUUAUACAAGUAAGCAAAAAUAUAAACUAAUAAAUAAACUGUAUAUAAUUUUGAGAUAAAUGGUUAAAAGGUGAUAACAUUAUAAAAAAUAAAAUAAAAUUUAUCAUAAUUUUAAAUAUUAUAAACAAAAUAUAUGAUAAGGCCCAUUAUUUUUCAAUUUAUUGGUCAAAAUUGAUUAUCUAUUUUCUAUUAUUUUAAUCAGUAUGAUUAUUUAAUAACGAUAAAUAUAAUUUCAAACUAAAUUAUAAAAUAUACAAAAUUUCUCUAAUAAUUUAUCAAAUACAUUAUAGUAGUUUUAAAUUUGAUUUUUAAAUAUGUUAAGAUAUAAGCGAUGAUAGCUAUAGAUGAUACGAUCACUAUUGUUUUAUUUAUAUUUAGUAUAGUUUUACUUAAUAUUAUAAUGACAAAAUUAUUGUUAAAAUCGUUAUAUAAUAUAUCAAAACUGUUCACAAAUUCUAAAUUGACUUUGAAUAUCAAAAUAACGAUCUUGUAUGAUUUAUUAUUUUUAGAGAUCAAGACAUUUAAAGUUAAAUAUAAUAUUUAUAACACAUCAACGGAUUUGACACACGUAAUUCUCAUGUUAUAUGAUAAUUUUUUUUUCUUUGAGCAAGUUAUAUGAUAAAUUAUAGUAGCUGAAUUUGGUAUAUAUAUAUAUAUUAUAUAUAUAUUUCAGUUUAAUAUUUUUAAUGCGUUAAUCAAUUGAUUUCUUCAUUUGGUAAAUACAAUUUUGUUUUAUAAAUCAGAACUGUGAUGACAAUCAGGCAAUUGAUUUGUAAAUAUGAAAUUAUAAGAGCACCCACAAUGAUGAGAUACUCAUUAUCAUGAAUAUCCCUAAUGAGUACAAUAUUAAGAGAAUUAGUUUCAUUCUAAUAAAAAUUAAAUUUUAGACAAAAACUAAGACUAAUCAAUUAUGAAAAUGGUAAGCAAGUUCUAACAAAAUUUUGUAGAGUCUCUAGCUAAAGAAUCAGUCUCUCUUUCUCUCUCUUCUUAUUAUUUUUUCAAUAUUUUAAUAUCUCAGUGGAAAAAUCUUAUAGCAGAUGCCCUAAGACUUUUGGUAUGGUACGAGUCAACCUGAGAGUAUCACCACGACUGCUUCUUCCACCAGAUAUCAUGAAGCGCUUUAGAGUCAUGGUUUCAAAAUUCCUCAUUUGUAUUUCGUAAUUCUAAUUUUUCAUGUUUCACUCAACAAAAGAAAAUAGUUUAUCGCUUUCAUAGUUUAAGAUAAUGUAGUUUGGACAGAGAAUUUAAUUUAAAUUACAUCACAUCUAUACUAUAGAUUAACUUUAAUGUCAUAAUAUUUUUUUUUCAUUUGCAUUGAAAAUAAAAUAUUAUAGUAUUUUUCAUUUAUAGUACAAAUCCAAACAAAGAUGUAAAAAAUCUAUUAGAAAAUCAAGACUAAAUAAGAAGAAAAACAAUCACAUAUAUUUAAUAGAACAAAAAAGUAUAUAUUGGUAAAUAGCAUUAAUUUUUGCUUCUUUAGUCUAGAUUUUAUACAUAAAUUAGCACACGGUAUUUCCGCACAAUGUUAAUUUGUUUUAUCUAUAUUUUCUUAAUUUUUCUUAUGUAAUCAUUAUAAUUGUUUAAAAAUAUAUAAGUUCCUUUGUCUUAUUUAUUAUUAUAUUUUUUUUUCUGCAAUAAACUUACAUAUGAACCAUACAAGACUGCCAAGUGUUGUAUUUGCGUGACUACUUUGUGCCUUUAAAUAUUGAGCUUUCUGCAGCCUAAGUUUAUACAGACUUGAGAAACACAAAAAAUAGAUAUACAAAGACUAGCAAAAUGGCUUUUGCCCAAUCUUUCGACAACCAAAGCUCUGAUUUAAGAAUCAAUGUUAUGGUCGUGGACGAUGAUCCUGUUUUCCUAGGAGUUGUGUCACGCAUGCUCGAAAAAUUCAAAUAUAGAGGUAAUUAAGAUCUUAUUCUCAAAUACAACAUGUAUAGAUAAUUUUGUUAAGAUUUGAACAGGAUAAACCUAUUAGCUAACUUCAAAUAUCUUCCUGAUUUCGUUGAGAUUUAGAAAAAAAAACUUCAAAUAUCGUAAUUUUUAGCCCUUUGAAAAGUUAUAUUUUAGUGGAAUUCAACAAUUGUAUUUCUAAAUCAUCAGGAUCUGAACUCCAAUUAUAUGCACACGUCUAAAAUUUCAAUUGAGUUAUUCUUAAUUACUUUGAUGAUUUUUUAAACCAAUAGUUUGGUUAAUACAAAAGUUUCAACCAAUUUAAUAUGUACGGUUUUAAAAAAUAUCAAUAAUUGAUUUAUAAGAUAGUAACUUUUUGUCUGAAUGAAAAAAUGACAUGAUCGUGUGUACGUACGAUAUGUUUUUUGUUCGAAGUUUAAAAUUAAUUUACGUUCUUCAAAUCGCCCUUUCUUAUAAUGUAAUCAACCUGUUAGUCUUUUAAAAUGUAUAUCCAUGACAAUUUAAAUGUUGUUAUUUUAAAGAAUAUGUUUAGUUGAUGCUAUGAACAUUCUAAAAUUUUGUGAAAUGUUUCAUAUAAAGUGAAAAAUAUAUAUGUAUAUACAUGUAUAUAUAUAUCUGUGUGUUUAUAUAAUUAGACCUCCAUUUUGCUCAGUUUCUUCGUUUUUAAAAGGUUAAGACAUGCAAGUAAAAGUAUAUAGUCUCUCGUACUUGCAAUAUUUUCACAUUUACAUUCGAAAUUCAUUUUUGGUUAAAUGGUUUUAGAUCCGUCGUUUAAGGAGAUCUCGGUUAUAGCUGUAAAAGACCCGAUCGAAGCAUUGUCUACUCUUAAAACCCAAAGACACAAUAUCGAUCUUAUAGUCACAGAUUAUUACAUGCCUCACAUGAACGGUCUACAACUCAAAAAGCAAAUCACUCGAGAAUUUGGCAAUAUACCGGUUAUAGGUAAGUUUUUUUUACUACUUACAUAAAAUUACAAUACAAUAAGGGUGUAACUGGUAAACAAGUAUGAAAUUUGUGGAAUUUAAAAUAAAUGAAAUGAUAGGAAUGAAAUACAGCAAAAAAUGGAAUGAAAUUCAUUCCAUUCAUUUAUGAUCAAAUUUGUUAUGAAAUGAUUCUCUUUAUAUUUUCUCUAUCUAUUUUUGGAAUUGAUGGAAUGAGUAUUCCAUUCCAUUCAUGUCAAAUGGUAAAAGAAUUUACGGAAUUAAUGGAAUAUACCAUUCCACAUCAUUCCAUUCUAAAAAUCUACAAUCCAGUUGCAGCCUAAUUGUUUCUGCUAUAACUAAGCUAUAACUAUUUUUUCUUUACAUUUUCUUAAACAUGAAAGUUAUGUCAUCGGACAGCAACAUAGAACAUGAGAGUUUGGCUUGUGGAGCGAAGUGUUUUCUUCCAAAACCCAUCAGACCAACUGACAUACCCCAGAUCUACCAGGUUGCUUUAACUUAUAAGAGGAAUGAUAAGUCCAUAUUAUGGACCGAGCACAACUACAGGGACACAGAUGUUAGCAUCCCUCAGCAAAUCCAGUUACAUACUGAACAAGCUAAUGUCUUGAAGACCAAUAAUAAGAGGUUCUCGCCUAUAUCGGAUUCAAGACCCGUGAACAGUUCAAAUGGAAGUUAUGUUAGUACAGACGGUUCAGGAGAAAACCGAAAAAGAAAAUCAAACGGUGGUUCUGGUGAUGAUUCGCGGCCCUUGAAGAAGCCUAAGAUAAAGUGGACCGACUGUCUUCAUGACCUUUUCCUACAAGCUAUCCGAUAUAUCGGUCUUGACAGUAAGUGUUUUAAUUAUUUGUAGAUAUAUAAUACAUGAUAUGGAGUACAUCAUUUCUUACAUUUUCAAGUUUAUGUAGAUAUAUACACUGACUAAUAUGUUUAUAUUUGUUUACUUAACUUGAAUCUUCCAAAGAGGCUGUGCCAAAGAAAAUCUUAGAGUACAUGAACCUACCGUACUUGACAAGAGAGAACAUAGCCAGCCAUUUACAGGUUUGAUCAUAUCCCUUUUCAAAAAUGUUUUCGGAUAAUAUGUUCUAAACGGGAAUUUUCUUUUAAAUUAAAAAACAACAAUAUAUGUCAGUCGAAUGAAAAGACUUUAUGUCUCAAUUUGAGAUAGUUAGAACUUUUUGUCCGAUUCACUUAACUUGUGAUUAUUUAUUUUACCAUUUUAUGUUAAAUAAUAAAUACUGUAAAUUGUGCGUAUCAUUUCUCUUUUUAAUUAACUCAAAAUUGUUUGCUACGCAGAAAUAUCGAAUAUUCUUAAGGAAAGUUGCUGAACAAGGUUUUUCAUGUUCGAGAAUGUUGCCGACUAAAGGCAUAGACUCGAUAUUUCUGCAGGCUCACCUCAGAGAUCCGUGCUACAACAACUACGCAUCAUCAUCUUCUUCUUUGUACGACACAACUAUUAACAAUAGAUCAUUCUAUUCCAAACCCAUACAAAGUUAUGGACAGUCUAGACUCUUGUCCAACACAGCUGAGCCCGUCCGCUUCAACCAGAUGCCUUACAACUACAUGAACCGGUCAUCCACCUAUGAGCCGCGAGGUAUUGGAUCAAACUUAACCAUUCCCACCAUAAGCAACCUCAGUUUCCCAAUCCAACCAUCUCAAAACGAAGGAAGAAGAAGCCUUUUCGAACCAACCGUGAUGGCGAACAAAACUGUCCAAACAUCUCAAGCUAUGGGGUUUGGACAACAUGGACUCUCGGCUAUUAAUGGCAAUAGUUUCAACAAUAACAUGGUGAGCAGCUAUGGAAGAUUGACUCCUACUCAACCAGGAAUGAUGAGCUAUGAAAAUUUAACUCCUAGUCAACCAGGAGUGAGAAGCUAUGUAAAUUCAACUUUUGAUCAGCCAGGAAUGAACAACCAAAGAAGUUUGACUCCUGACCAACAGGGAAUGCGCAGCUACAGAAGUUUAACUUCUAAUCAACUAGGAGUGAACAUGAAUGGAAGUUUUUCUCAAACUCCUAAUCAACCAGGAAUGAGUAGCUAUGGAAUUUCAACUUCUAAUCAACCAAGAAUGAACAACCAUGGAAGUUUGACUCUUGACCAACAGGUAAUGAGUAGCAACGGAAGUUUAACUUCUAAUCAACUGGGAAUGAGCAGCCAUGGAAGUUUAUAUCCAAAUCAACCAGGUCUGAACAGUUAUGGAAGUGUAACUUAUAAUGCAAGAGUAAACAUCCAUGAAAGUUUAACACCUAAUCAACCAGGAGCUAGCAACUUCUCGUAUGGGAUGCAAAUGUUCUUAAACAACGAGAACACUACAUAUAAGCCUCAGGCACAUGACAAUGCAACUACACAGCCAAAUCUUGAAAUUCCUACACUGGAGAAUCUCAGCUUGUGUGAUGAGCUUCUGUGCGAGAUAAGUAACUUCCAGAUCGACCACAACAAGGUAUAUAUCAUCAUCACUACCCUAAUAUUUCAAGAAUGUACAUAUACAUGCAUUAUAUAUAUGUUGUGAGACUUUUUUUUUGUCAAUGUAACGAGCAGCAACAAGAAGAAGCAGUUUCUACCAACAAAUUUGAGCUCCCUGCAAAUUUUGAGACUGAACUGAAUCAGUUUUUUUCUCUUGAGGAAAAUGGUGACGGGAACUUUGUGAACAUAAAUCAGGUAUAUACAUAUUAUUUUAGAAAUUACAAGAUUGAAUAUGAAUCAACGUCCUAUCAAAGAUUAUAUAUGGUCAAAGAAUGUCUUGCUGACUUAUAUAUUUGACUUUGUUCUGAAGGGACGUUCUGAUGGAGAAACAUCAAACAUUGUUGCUGCCCCGGAGACGAAUUAUCCAGUUUUCAACAUGAACCCUAAUCAUGAGCAGGUACUCUAAUAUGUAUCAUUCUAAAUAUAUUUCCAUAAAUCUAUGAUGCUAUAUAUAUCAAAUCAUUUUUUUCAUUUAAAUAUACUCUGAAACUUCGAAUCUAUUUGCUAGGAACAAGGUGUUCCAGGAUUUGUCGAUUGGUCGUCACUGGAUCCGAAGGUACGUAAGGUUAAAUUAUUUGUCUAUAAUUUGAAGUUUUUAAGUCAUGAAAUAUUUUUGAUUAAACUUUUUCUUAUACUAUAGGAUUUUGCUAAUGAGUACGAUUUCGUGGACUCGCUGUUAACCAAUGACAUGAAUUAGCAAAGGUUUCGAUCCAAGAUGUUCUCAAAGCGAGGUGGAGAAAUAAAACCAGCAAUGCAUAGUAGGUUCUAAGCAAAUAUAUGUAAAAGAAUGAGAAUAUUAUAGAGUAUGGCUUUCGUUAUCUAUUAUUAUAUUUUUAAGUGGUGGAUAUUUUGAUAUGUCUGAGAACUUUCAAUUCAUAUAGUAAUUAUAUUGUUAGAGAUCUUAUGUGUUUAUCUUAUAAAAUAUAUAUAUAUAUAACUAUUUUAAGUUGAAUAUUCCCUUCCGCUCUCGAAGUCAAUUUAUUUCCUAUCUUUCAGUUCCAAAUUCCAAUAGAUAUAUAACACUUUAUAAUCAACAUAUGAUAUAUUCAUGAUCAUAAAAUUAGGUUCUGAAUGAAUUAUUGGUUUCUAUUGUAGCUUUAAGUUCUUAAAAAUAAACAUUGUAUCUUAAUUAAGUUUUUUAAUUUCUAAAAAGACAAAAGCAUGUUUUUACUAAACUAUUUCAGUGGAAAUCUAAGACUUUCAUAGUCUACGAUCUUUCCAAAAAAAAUUAUUUAAAAUUAAUUUUCCCACAAAUUACCAAUAUAUUUUGGUAAAAUCAGUUGAUGAUAUUUUGACUAUAUAGGCUUUAAAAUCUUCGAGAAAAGCAAUAUAUCUUAUGCCCAUUAAAAAACUUUAACAAUUCUUUAGAAGUAUCAUAAAGAAAUAUAAUUACUAAUUUAAAUAUUUUAUAAGAUUUUAUACUAAAGAGAUAUAAUUACUAAUUUAAAUAUUUUAUAAGAUUUUAUACUAAAGAGAUAUAAUUACUAAUUUAAAUAUUUUAUAAGAUUUUAUACUAAAGAAACACAUUUAAAUUUGGUUUUAAAUUUUGUAUUAAUUAUUUUUAAAAUGGUGACGUAGCCCUAGGAGAUUUUUUAAUCGUUUUUAGGCAUGCCUCAGGUCUAGAUGCCUACUGACGUAUUCCCCCAUUAAGAAAAAAAAAAGAUUUGUCAUUACAAUUAUUUUAGAAUCAUUCCUCUAACUAUUCUUCGUUUGUUCUUGGACCGGCGAAUUGCAAAUUUUCUUAGGUCUUUAUUCUUUUCUACAUAUAAGAAUUUAAUAUUGCAAAGAAAAAAAAACAAAUCUUUACAUUAUGUCUUUCAUAAAAUUUAAUAUUCUUUUUGAUAUCUUUUAUUGUAAUAGUAAAGAAAAAAAACAAAUCUCUAGGUAUACUACAAUGAUGGGAUGAUGAUGAAGUUCUAUUUGUUGAAACUUCCCCUGUUUUCAACAUUAUUACUAUUUAUUAUGGGAAUGUAUUUUCUAUAACUGGCAUCAUUAUAGAUUGCUUUUAUCACAGUCGUGGCAUUGUCACAUAUGAAACUUCAGGAGACACUCCGUUCAAAUUAAAAAUUCUGAAAUUAAAAUUUUAAAAUAUGUAAUUAAAAAUUUACAUUGAAAAAAUAUUGAGACUUUAAUAUUUUAAUUUAAAAAUUUAUAUUAAAUUUUUUUUAAAUAAUUAUAAAUUACUAAACUAUUAAAAACUUCACAUUGAAAAAUUUGUGAUUAAUAGUAUAAAUUUUUUUUGUUACAUAAAAUAUACAAAUGUUAAUAAAGUCAUAUGAAUAAGAGAUUUUAAUUAAAAAGUAUUCAUAUUAAAAAUAUACUAAAUAUCUGUAUCAAGUAUCGUUUGAAUUUAAUUAUAUAACAUAUAUACAAAUAAAAAUGAUUGUUUUGAUUUAUGUAAUAAUAAUAAUUUAUUGUAAAUAAAUAAUAAUGAUUGUUUUGAUUUAUGUUCUUACUCAGUUAUAUGCACAAUAGUUACACAAUUUUUAAUUAUUUAAUAUAUUUUAUAUUUUAUAAUAUGUGAAAACACACAAAAUAAAUAACAUAUGUAAGAAUAAUUUGUUUAGAUAGGGUUAAUCUAGGGAAAAAGACAGAUCUUAACUUAGUUUAAUAUAUAUUAUGAUAUUUAAAAUAUUUUGUUUGAUGUCCAAAAAAAAAAAGUUUUUGUUUUAUUUUUGUAUGGAGCCUCCAAAGAAAAAGAAUAUAUGGAGCCUCCCACUUGUCUCUGCUUCUUUUUAAAUACUUGUCCGAAAGAAAAAAAAUCCUCAACCGGAGAAAAUUCCGACAAAAGUUUAGCAAAAGCAACGGUGAUUCUCCGGCGAUGAAGUAACUAUGGGUUUCUUCAGACGUCUUUUCGGGAGCAAGAAGCAGGAGAAAACAACACAUACGAAGAACAAGAGUAAAAAAUGGAGCUUCACCACCAGAUCCUCGAAUCCGGCGUCGUCUUCUCAUCCAAGCAAGAGACGCACCGAUGAAGAAAUCUUGGACGUCGACAAGCAUGCGAUAGCCGUCGCAGCUGCCACCGCCGCGGUGGCUGAGGCGGCACUAGCGGCUGCUCAUGCGGCGGCGGAGGUCGUGAGACUCACCGGAAGAGGCGGCGGUUCGGUUACUCAAGCUAAUCGGAAUAACCGCCGGUUGGCUCAAGAGUUUGUAGCGGCGGUCAAGAUUCAAUCAUCCUUCCGUGGCUACUUGGUUAGUGAAUUCCCUGAAUUAUUCUUAAAAUUAAACAAUUUUCAAAAUUUAAAUCUUUAAUUUUAUUAAAAAUCCUCGAAAAAACUUUGAACUAAAGUGUGGAAUAGCUGUCUGAUGUUGAUAUUUCUACUUAAUCCCAAAUUUAAAUAAUUACUGAAAAAUCAUAAAGAUAACUCAAUUUUGUAUUUUUUCUAUUGGUCCCGGAAAAUACUAGGAAGAGACAAAUGAAUAUGAAACUUGUAACGAUCCUAUACGCUCUACCGACACUAUUUAGUGGUCUUCGUAAGAAAUAUUUUAUUAAAUAGUUUGUUUUCUUUAAAAUUAUAAUUAAUUUGAAUUAGGUGGGUCAAAUGUACAUAUACUCUAACCUAUUGCUUAGAAAAAAAUGAAUUAGGUGUGUAAGUUUGUAACCAUUUAAAAAAAAAAAAAAAAAAAAAAAAAAAAAAAAAAAAAAAAAAAAAGUUUGUAACCAUUUAGAAGAAAUGUAAUUGAUUUCCGAGAAACAACUUUGUAGUUUUUGUUUUUGUAUAAUAUAAACUUUUUUAAUCUAGGCGAGGAGGGCGUUGAGAGCAUUGAAGGCGUUAGUGAAGCUCCAAGCGUUAGUGAAAGGACACAUAGUGAGGAAACAAACAGCUGACAUGCUGCGUCGGAUGCAAACCCUUGUCAGACUCCAAGCUCGAGCGAGAGCAUCUCGCUCUUCUCACGUUCCUCCCUCUCCACACUCUCUCCACGCACGAUGCGUUUCAGAGGCUGAAUACAGCAAAGUCAUUGCCAUGGACCACCACCGUUCUCUAUGGAACGCACCGCAGUACAGUGAAGACAACGACAAGAUCCUAGAAGUCGACACUUGGAAGCCUCACUUCGCUUCCUACUACCACAAGGAGUCGUCGCCAAGUAAAAGAGGAUCUCUUCCCACAAGUCCACAAGUAAGGUCUAGACCAGGAAGCAGCAGUGGCGGCGGUUCCAGGAGAAGAACGCCGUUCACGCCAACGAGAAGCGAGUACGAGUACUACUCUGGGUAUUACCCUAACUACAUGGCUAACACUGAGUCUUACAGAGCAAAAGUCAGGUCACAAAGUGCACCAAGACAGAGGCUUCACGAGUUGUCUUCGGAGAGUGGAUACAAGAGGUCAGUACAGGGACAGUAUUACUACUACACAGCUGCUGCAGAGCGGUCGUUUGAUCAGCGUUCAUAUCUCAGUUCUGAUCCUAAUUUGUUUUAGUAGUUGAAGGAAUGUGUAAAUCAGAUACCGACACACAAGUACAGACAGUGAUCAAUCUCUGUUAUGUAAUUUUCUUUUGACUAGAUCCUACGGUACAGAUCUUGUACCAACAAGCUAUAGGGGUCCACAUUUGUCUGGUUAAAGAAACUUCAAUAAUUUGUAGUCAUGUCAAGUCACAAGUUUGCGCAAUGAAGGACAACCACACACACACACAAGCAAUCACACUAAGCAUUUACAAAGUAAACAAUGUUUGCUUAUUUAUCAAACGUCUUCACAACUCCAUUUUGAAGUGGGGAUACAGCGUAGGUAGCGACACCAGCGGCAGUGAUCAUUACCGUCUUCUCCUCUGAAUAGCAUCACCAGCGUCACCACAAACCUGCCAGAAACAUUAGGGGGAAGUUAACAUUGAAAUUACAAGAGUGAUUGAUUCUAGAAGAAUGCAAACUUUACCCGGCGAUCAUCAAAGCUAGAGAGAUGAGCCUUAAUAUGUAUUGGUAAGGCUUGUACUUAGACGUCAGACGUCUGUCUUGUGGAAUAUGCUCUCUAGCUAACCACUUGAACUGAGGACGAGCCAGCAGAACAAAACCGAGGAGAAACCCAACUACAAACCCACCCAGAUGACCCAUAUUAUCAACGUGAGGUAGAAUCCCAAAGGCCAGGUUUAUCACAACGACAAACAAAAGCGUCAAGAGUGCUGCAACCUGUAACAAAAAAAAAAGGUUAAUUAAACUAUUUGAAAAUUUCAAAAGGUUUCUUAGUAUUGAGAGAUUAAUUAACCUUGUUAGAGUAGAUAGUCCAGUUGGUAAGAAUCUCGGAAAGCAUUGAGCCAAGAAGUCCAAAGAGAGCACCAGAAGCUCCAACAGAGACACCAUUUCUGAUAAAGAGAGAAGACAAUACGCUUCCUCCUACUCCUGAUACUACGUAUAUAACUCCAAUCCUAACUGCAAACUCAAAACCAAAAAAUUUUCAACUUUUUCUAUAAAUUUACGUUACUUGAUGAUGACUAUAACGUCAUACCGAAACCAAACUGCUGCUCCAGGCGAAUACCGACGAAGAGGAGACUGAUCAUAUUAGCCACAAGAUGAAUAACACCGGCAUGUAACCAUAUACAUGUAAAGAGACGCCAAGCUUCAUGCUCUUCCACGACUCUGCACCACUCAAGUGAUCCUAACUUCACCAAUCUUCAAGUACCAUACCAAAAACAUUAAAUGAUAGUAACGCAAUUCAUAAAACGCAGUCGUAUUACAUUACAAAGUAACGCAAUUCACAAAACGCAGUCGUAUUACAUUACAAAGUAACGCAAUUAACAAAACGCAGUCGUAUUACAUUACAAAGUAACGCAAUUAACAAAACGCAGUCGUAUUACAUUACUAAGUAACGUACGUACGUGCGUGAAGAUGGACCGAAGAGAGGAUUGUUCCGGAGAGGCUCGAACGAGAGUCUCCCGAGGAACGUGGCGACGCAGUGGUGGUUGGGAGAAUGAUGAGACUCCGAAUGCUUAGGGCAGUUGUUGACGAACAUCGCGAUGGAGAAGAGUGUCACGUUGGUUACGACGAACAAUGGAACCAGCCACGACGACAACGGUGAUGGAAUAGGCGGCGGUCCGAUUCUGCUCCGGCCACCGUCUUCGCUUCCGAUCUCUCGGUUCUCCGGAUCGUCUCCUAAGGCCAUUGAUGAUCUCUCUCUUGCUCUCUCGCUUCGACUCUGUAACUGAAGGCGGUAAAAACGGUUAAAACUUUAUUUGAGUUGAGAGAAAGUGGGUUUAUACUGAACCAAUAGGAACGUUACACGUGUAAUGCGUUGUACUCGUUUGAUGGGACGCGCGUAUUUUUCGAAUGAGAAGCGUUCAUCUCAAGGCUCAAAGUAUUACGACCCGUUAGUUAGAUAAAUCCGGCCCAUUUAAAUCUAAACUAAGACCCAGUAAGGCCCGUUAAUUGGGUCUUCUUGUCUAGAAUCAAAUCAGGUAUUUUCCUUUUCGAUUAUUUUAUUUUGAAUAAAAAAGUUUAUGUAAUUAUGCUUUUGAGAAAGGUUUGUGUACCUUUCUGGUGGCGAAAUGUUGUAAUCGGUCAUUACGUAAAAUUCCAUGUCUUAUUAUUCACGUUAGAUGCGUUUUUUUUUCUUUCUUAAAUUCCAGUCACACCGCAUUAUAAGAAUAAAUAGCUUAUCGUAAUAUAAAUUUCAUAUUCCCCAAUUAACAAAAUAAUUUUUUAAAAUUCGGCUUUUUAUACCGAUAAUAAACUGUGACCACUCUUCGACGUGUCAAAAUCUCCUUGGACCAAAUAAAUCACUAGCUCACUUCUGUAGUAACUAUCUUCACGUGACUAACGCUACAGUCAAAUUUAAUACCUCUCGAGUUUUUUUUUUGUUAUUUUUUUUAUAGUAUCUUUUUGCAUUUAAUUUCUGUAAUUAUCAAUUAGUCCCUAAUUUCGCAAUAAUAGUUGGCUGUAAUUGUCUUUAAUAAUAAUUAUUGAUGAUAAAAUUAAAAAAAAAAGAAUAAAAAUUGGCAGUAAGUAAAUGAAUGGAGUCAAAGACUUCAGACAGAUCGUCGACUUGGAAAAACACAGUGGGUCCCACUCUCUCUUCCCUCUUCUUCCUCCUCAAAUCUCUCUCCUUGAGAACUCGCUGUUUAAUGAUUGUCUCUGUUGUUCUUCGAUCCAUCUUCUAAGACAUGGGAAGCUGCUGGUCCGAUGGUAGUGGUCGCGGUGGUGGAAUGGUCGGUGUCGGCGGGAACACUUCCUCCUCCGCCGCCGCCGCCGCCUACGCUAGUCCAAACGACGCCGUUGACUACUACCUCAAGUCUCGAGGCUUCAACGGCCUCUUCUCUCAGAUCGAGGUCUCUCUCCUUCAAAUCUUCUUACUUCCUUUUAGACCAAAGAUUUGAGUUUCCUCUCACUUCAUGUUUUUGUCUUCUUCCUUCCUUCGCAGUUGUCGUUCUCCGCUUCAAACUUGCGAGACAUGGACGUGACUUCAAAGGUUCGUGCUUUUGUAAUAAUAUGUCUUAAAAAGGAACUUUCUUUUAAUCUUAUUUAUACUUGUGUCCUGGUGUACAGAGCGAUGCAAUGGUGGUUGUUUAUACAAAAGGAAGAGACGGAACACUCGCAGAAUCGUUCCGUAGCGAAGUCGUGUUGAACUCUUUGAAUCCUAAAUGGAUUAAGAAGUUUAAUAUUCGUUAUCAGUUCGAGGUUGUGCAGACUUUGCUGUAAGUUAACUCUGCCUUAUGUUAGAGGAAAUCAAAUGAAGUAAAAGUAAAGUUUCUCACUUUAUGACCUUUUAAUCUUCUCCACAGGUUUCGUAUUUACGAUAUUGACACUCAGUUUCAAAACUCAAAGGAGGAGGUACUGUGUACAAUCUCAUUGUAUGCUCAAAGUGUUUACAUUAUAUGAUUUUGUUAAUUUUUUUUUUAAUUUUCAGAUGCUUAAGCUAGACGAGCAGCAGUUUCUCGGUGAGGCAACGUGUACAUUAUCUGAGGUAUUAUUUUGGUUUUAGGACCUCUCUGUCUUGCUAUAGAUUAAUAAUAUUGAUUCACAUGUUAUAUUUACUCAAUUAUGCAGGUUAUCACCAAACCAAAUAGGACGAUUGCUUUGGAACUCACGCGUAAAGAAGGAACUCAGCCACAGAACCAUGGGAAGCUUAUAGUCCAUGCUGAGGAGUCUCUAGCUUCUAAGACCACUACAGAGAUUGUUUUUAGGUGCUUGAAUUUGGAAUCAAUGGAUCAUUUCUCUAAAAGUGUAAGCUUUUGUAUUAUCACCAUUUUUACCAUUAUUAACUUACACACUGUAUGUAGUAUAUAACUUGAGUUCUCUUUCUCAGGAUCCGUUUUUGGUUAUAUCUAAGAUUGUGGAGCAUGGGAGUCCAAUCCCGGUUUCUAAAACCGAAGUCUUGAAGAAUGAUGCUAAUCCGGUUUGGAAACCAGUCUCUCUAAGUGUUCAGCAAGUGGGGAGUAAGGUAAUAAGAGAGAGAGUUUCUUUAUUACAUAUUAGUUUGCCUGCUUGAGGAGGAAGGUGUUAACAGUUCUCUUAUGUAAUAAUUUUCAGGACACCCCACUGGUAAUAGAGUGCCUAGACUUUAAUGGCAACGGCAACCACAAUCUUAUUGGGUAACCAACAAGCUCUCCAUUACGUCCAUUCUAGUUUAGGAUAUGAGGAUGAGAGAUGAUUAUUGUUUGUUGUUGGAUUUUGCCAGAAAAGUUCAGAAGUCACUUGCAGACUUAGAAAAGCUUCAUUUGAGUGGCCAAGGAAUCAAUUUGUUCUUACCUACUGGUGUUGGACAUAAACAUGAAGACAAGGUAGGGAUGUUUAGCAAUAAAUGGUUGAAUACGAUUCUUAAUUGCUAGAAACCUGAUACCGUUUGCCAUUGUUUCAGGCGUUAAAAAGUCAGCUGUUUGUGGACAAGUUUACUGAAACUGUUCAGCAUACGUUCCUAGAAUACUUGGCUUCUGGAUUUGAAUUGAACUUCAUGGUGGCAAUUGAUUUCACAGGUAUGAAUUUAUGCCGUGGUGAAAGGAUAUGAUAGGACUGCGGUUUCCGAUAGUUUGGGUAGUUCGGUUCGGUAUUCGGAUAGUUUGGUUUUUAAAAAUUUUACCGAAACUAAAUGAAGUUUUUGGUUUCGGUUAUAUUUUGGUUAAAAAUUUGGUCAGUUUCGGGUAAUUUCGGUUCAAAAUUUUGGUUAAUUUGGUUAGUUUGGUUCGAAGCUUGGUUGCCGAACCGAAUUUUUUUUAUUUUAACUAACCGAUUGCCGAAACGAAAACCAGAUUUUUAUUUUAAACCUGCUGAAUUGAACCGAACUCGUAACCAAACUAACCAAAAUUUUUGGUUUGGUUCGGUUCAAGACUCUGCCUCUAAUGCAUUUCAUUUGAACUAAUCCAAUUGUCUCUCAUCUUUCAUUAGCUUCAAAUGGAAACCCUCGCCUCCCAGAUUCCUUGCAUUACAUUGAUCCUACAGGACGAUUAAAUGCCUACCAGAGAGUAAGGACUCUCAGUAUAUCCAUAGUUUAGUUACUGCUUAACUUUUCUUGCAGAGGCGUUGACUGUGUGUAAUCUUCUUUCUUUCUUUCUUUGUAUUCAGGCAAUAGUGGAAGUUGGAGAAGUGUUGCAGUUCUAUGACACUGACAAACGCUUUCCAGCAUGGGGUUUUGGAGCUCGUCCUAUAGACAUCCCAGUUUCACAUUGCUUUAACCUAAACGGAAGCAGUACAUAUUGUGAGGUCUGUCCAACAAACUCUGAAUCACAUUCCUCAAGUUAAACAACAUGAAACUAACCUUAUCCCAUUUUUGUUUUUCUCAGGUAGAUGGGAUCCAAGGUAUCAUGAAUGCAUACAAUGGUGCUCUCUUCAACGUCUCUUUUGCAGGGCCUACUCUUUUUGGUCCCGUGAUCAACGCUGCUGCAACAAUAGCAAGCGAGUCACUCGCUCAAAAUGCAAAGAGAUAUUACGUCUUGUUGAUAAUCACUGUGAGUUUAUGUCCUUGUGUUACGUGUUUUCAUGGUUCAAAACAUCGGUCUAGGCACGGUAGCUUGGUGCUAGCCGAAAUGAUUUUUUAAAAAUCCGAUUUAUACAACUCAAAUUGAUUUAAACCGUUAUACAUCAGUUAAAAUCGGUUUAAAUCGAUAUAGAUUAGUCUAAAUCUGUUAAAUUAAACUAUAAUAUUAGUAAAAAUUGGUCUAGAUGGUGCAUUUGCGUCCUGUCUAGUAGGCAUGUUGGACCUAAAAACAAAACAAUUUUUCUACAACGAUUUUUUAAAAAUCAGUCUCAGCGCUAAAAAAGUCGGUCUAGGCGCCUUCCUAAUCAAUAAUCUUAUAUAAAGCGCAUACUUAUCACUAGGAUUUCUUGAACAUGGUUAAAAAGACAGUGGAAACUAAACUUGCCUGUUUCUUUUUUUAGGAUGGAGUGAUAACAGAUCUGCAAGAAACGAAAGACGCAUUGGUCAGUGCAUCAGAUCUGCCAUUAUCAAUCCUCAUCGUUGGAGUAGGAGGAGCUGACUAUAAAGAAAUGGAGGUUCCUAAUAAGAAAUUCUCAACAUUACAAAGUCUGUGGUUUUCCAUUAGAUUCUUACACUCGUUGUUGUUUAGGUACUAGAUGGAGACAAAGGAGAGAGACUAGAAAGCUCGAGCGGUCGUGUGGCGUCACGUGAUAUAGUCCAGUUCGUUGCAUUACGAGACAUGCAAUGUGAGUCUUGAUAUGUUUGGCUCAAGAAAAACAUUGAGUGUUUUUGGUUAGGUGAUGAUUUUUUUGUGUGUGUGUUUAUGUGUAGAUGGAGAGGUCUCAGUGGUGGAAGCGUUACUAGCGGAAUUGCCUUCACAGUUUUUAACGUACAUGAGAAACCGUAAUAUCACUCCCACAAGUAUUACCACCUCCGCUUCUUGAUGCAUUGUCAACACUAUGUACAUACAUUCAGCUCUAAACGCUGUCGUUUUGGUUUUCUAUUUUAUAUUAUCUGGAAUUUUUCCUUUUCCAGUAUGCAACGUCAAGUUUUACUUCAGUCUUUGAUUUGUUUCUUGUUUCUUUUUCUUUUCUUCUAAAAAAAUAUUAUUUUUAUUUAAUAUUAUUUGCUAAUUUACAAGUUGAUUUGGGCAUACUGAAAAUCAUGUAGUAUUGUUCAACGGUCAACAAAUUAAGUUGUUGACUUUCUUAUUUUAGGUGCUGACUUUUCUUCCUAAGCCGUAACUUUAAACGUGAUCGUUGAUUUUAUAUUUAGUACUUUACCGCAUUUGUCGCUGAAAAUUAUGAACUUUGAAAAAUAAAUGGAACUAGGGCAACAUAUUAAACACACCUUCUUAUAAAUAUAGCUAUUAAUAUUUAAGCAGAAUACUUGAUAUAAAUGAUCAAAUGUGUAUAUACCUUAAGUUUAAGUACGUGACAACCUUCUCAAACUCAUUUUCUCUAUUAGCAUAUUCGCAAAAAAAUAUGUUGAUUCGUUUUCUUUCUACUUUCUAGUCAACAUAACCUAAAACACCUACCCAUGUUUAUUUCCUGUUAUAAGUGUUUCCCCAUCAAAUUCAUAUUCAUUGACAUCUUGAAGAUACUCCUCUUUUUUUCAAUUGACUUUCUUAUGUACAAUGUUAUCUUUCGUCGUAAUCUUAUUACAAUGUCUUUGUUUAUAGCCGAGCAAAUGUUAGUUAAUUUGAUUGUACCCAAAACAUGUUAGCUAACUUUAAUAAUACUUAAAUGUCCACGUUAUAGAUCGUUGAAUAUGUCUAAUGAUUUGGCUUCUUCAAAAUAUGUACAGUAUAUGUUAUGUCGUUCUACACAACACAUUGGUUAUACCAUACUUUGGAGUUCCACGUGAAUCGCUGAAUCCUUGUAGUACGACGACCAAUUAGUCCAUAUGUGGGAUCAGGAAAGACUAACAGUUUGUUCAUUACAACUCUCUUGGUUCCUCUCCUAAUUCCUUAACCAGAUACCUCUCUCCCGACCAAAAAUAGGUAAUUUCUUACAGUAAGAAAUUUAAUAUGUGGGAUCAGGAAAAAUAGAUAGUUGUGAUGUGGGACUGAAGGCCCAGAGGUCCCAGACAAAGUGCUUUUGUGAACAUAUCCUUAAAUAAUUUGUUACAUACCAAAACGGUACUUUCUUCAAAUAUUGUUGUGAUUUUUCUUUUGAACUUUAUGUUAUUACUGUGUUUCUAGAUCGAGAACGAAUGAGUGUUUUCACUUUUUAAUAAAAUAUACAAACAGUUUUAACUUUACAAUAUUAAUGGGUUAAUUACAGUGCCGUCCCAGUAAAUUUGAUGGUCUAAAGCAUAUUUAUAUACAAUAUCAUAUAUAUAUAUAUUAUAUUAUAUUUUCUAUUUGAAAUAUAAAAUGAUAUAGUAGGUUAGUUACAUCAGAUUAAUAUCAGAUAAUUAGUAGAUAUUUUAGUAAAAUAAAAACUAUUAGUUUGUUUGAACUAUUAUUAUUUGUAAUCCAAGUAACACAGAAAAUAGAAACACAGAUAAUAAAUAAAUUAUUUCAAUUAAAAGAGGUUGUUUCAAAAAAUUCAAAAUAAGAAAGGAAUGCAUAUGUAAAAAAAAGGAAAUAUUACAAGUUAACAUAAACUAUAACAUUGAAUGUGCAAAUUCCAACUCAAACAAAAAGUGAAAAUAAUGUUUUUAACCACUUGACCAUAAUCAUUUUUUUCAAAAAAUGUGGCCUCUAAAAUUGUAAGAAAAUUUGUGGCUUAAAGCUCUUGCUUCACUGGCUUUAUGGCAGGGACGGCCCUGGUUAAUUAUCUUCCACGGAAAUGAAUAUGUUUAUUAAUAUAUAGAUAAUCUAUACCGUCAUACGGACUUAAUUUUACGAACCCACACCUGCCUUUUUUUAAUGAAAACCCACAUAUGCUUUCAGUUAAUUAACUUGAAUCUUCGACUUAUGGCAUGCAUUUGAAAACGUUUAAUUGAUCAUUGGAUACAAAACUUCCACAUAACUAUGAAGUUUAAACUGAAUUAUUUCAUAUUUCAGAUAUAGAUGAAACUAGAAAACAUAAUCGUGUAUCUAUUUGUAAAAAGACUCCAAAACAACAUGUUCAGUUCACACGUUUUAUCUUGAGUUAGUGAUCAGUGUGUAGUGUGUAUACAUCUCUCUUAGAUGUAUAACUAAGUUUCUUUUUCAAUAUCUGUCCACAUCUUUACGUCAGAAAAAAAUGAAUCCCCUAAUGUACGAAAACUAUUGUUUAUUUAUAUUUUUAAUGAAUGGAAAACAAAGUUGUUAUAUUCUUAUUCCCUUAACUUUUUCUAAUGUCGGUUUAAUUAUACACAAAUAAUAUAUUUCUUAUAUAAAAUCAAUCCGUCAAAAUAGAACUUUUAUGCUUGUUUUCUUCUUCGAUUCCAUGCAUGUGUUUACGAAAAGAAACUGGUAAAUAAUAUGUACAUGCAUGCAUUUUCCUUCUUUAUUUUUUGUCUUUUUAUCAUCUUGGAUCUUUUUACAGUGUUCAUAUUUAUUUAUUUUCUUCUGUCAGAGCUUUUUUAGUAAUCUUUAUUGAUAUCCAUUUCUUAAUCUGUUCAGAUUCAUACGUACGCUUUUUUUAUCUAUAACCAAAUGAAAAGGCCAUUUUCACGCGUCUCUACAGUUUAACAAAUACAGUACUCAUACAAUUGCAUGAUUUUUAUGUGCCUCGAAAUUAUGAUAUAUAUACUGAACAAAAUUUGAAAAAUAUGCAAAACUUCAGAUUUACGUUUUGUUGUUAUUUUUCUUAUGUUCACACAAACAAAAUGUUUUAUAAAACAUUCAAAAUUCUUCACUACAGAACCCUAAUUAAUAUCUCCAGCUCUUCCACUUUCCUUGUCUUCUUUGUUUCUCAUUUUCAACGCAUCGUCGUCUAUUUGAAACAGUGAAAAAACUGAAACCCUAAUAAUCGAUGAAUAAUGGGAAGAGGCCCUUUCGAGCUGGUGAAUCUGAGGAGAAGAAAGAAGCCGAUGACGACGAGAACAUAUUUCCGUUCUUCUCGGCUCGAUCUGAAUACGACACGCGUGCCAUGGUCUCAGCCUUGACUCAAGUCAUUGGAAACCAAAGCAGCACGCAUGAUAAUAAUCUACAUCACCCUGUUGAGUAUGAUCAGCAAGAUCCCAUCCAACAUGUUCCUCCUACUCAAGAUCAUGGUAUAUAUGUAAACAUAUAUAUAUAUACGUGCACAUAUAGCUUGAUUUGCAAGCAUAUUUAUUGCAACUAAUUAACAGCUAUAGUAUAUGAUGAUAUGUACAUAAAAUGAGCAGAUCGAUGAUAUAUAUAUAUAUUCUUACUUCACAAGUUUCUUGUAGGGUGUAUAAAAGCAUAUAUAUGAGGUUAAUAAUUUAUGUAAUUUAUGUCACUUGUUGUUGAAGGAAACUUGAGGAAAAUACAUUAUAGAGGGGUAAGGCAACGACCAUGGGGAAAAUGGGCUGCCGAAAUUAGGGAUCCACAAAAGGCCGCACGCGUGUGGCUUGGGACAUUUGAGACCGCUGAAGCUGCGGCCUUAGCUUAUGAUGAAGCAGCUCUUAAGUUCAAAGGAAGCAAAGCCAAACUUAAUUUCCCUGAGAGAGCUCAACUAGCAAGUAACACUAGUACCAUUACCGGUCUACCAAACUAUUACUCUUCUAAUAAUCAAACUUACUACUCAAAUCCGCAGACUAAUCCACAAAACAUACCAUAUUAUAACCAAUACUACUAUAACCAAUAUCUUCAGCAAGGGGGAAAUAGUAACGAUGCAUUAAGCUAUAGUCUGGCAGGUGGGGAAACCGGAGGCUCAAUAUAUAGUCAUCAGACAUUAUCUAAUACCACUUCUUCACCAGCUGGUGGAUCUUUAAGGCAACAAGAAGAUUACACAAGAUUUUGGCAUUUUGGGGAUUCUUCUCCUAAUUCUGGGGUUUGAGAUCCUCAUAUAAAUAAGGGGUUUCGGGUGACUUGUUAUGAGGAGAUCAUAUCAUAUGUUCCUUGAGUGUUUUCUGUUUUCAUUAUGCGUGUGUCGUUUGUGUAUCAUUUUCUUAAUUAGUUUCUUCUUUCGAGAGUUUUCACUGGGUUUUUUGUUAACAAGCGUUGAUUUUAAGCUAAAUUCAUAAAAUAACAAAAUAUUGUCCUUAAAAUUUAUGGGAGUAGUCUCAAAUAAGCACACACAUACAUACUGAUACAUACAUAUAAAUUAUUCACCGGUUUCUCAGUACAUGGUGUUAAUGGAUAUAUCAUAUGGCAUGUAUAACGUGAGUGAUCAAAACAAUAUAUAAAAUCAACGAUAAAAAAUCUUAAGUUUGUACAAUGUCACAUCACAUGAUAAAUGUUAAGAUUUUGGAUCAUUUUGAUGUGUCGAUUGUAUUGCCACAUCAUAAAUGCACGCAAACCAAAACUUUCUUGAAUGAAAGUACAUGUAUCUUACAUGACAAAGCCAAAGCAGCAUACCUACAUAUAACUUAACUCGUAUAAUAUUUGCAUAUUUGUUGAGCUCUGGUGGUUGAACCAAAAAAGAGGUUAAUAAUUUUGUCUAAUUAUCUUUGCGAGAUUGGUGUAUUUAAAAUCUAGAUUUGUACCGAAUUAUUUAUUGAACUGGAUUGUACGUCUGUGACUGUAAAUAUAUGAAAAUGUGGUCGUAUUUUUAUGUAAAAUAUAAUAAAAAUGUUUUUCUAAUGAUGAGAAUAGUUGGGUUCCUACUAUUCAAUUAUUUUAAAUAAAACCGAAAAUAUUCUUUUCCAGUUUUGGCUAACAUGGUAAUUGUAUGCACCAUGUAAUAUUUUGGAAAAAUCUAAUAAACCCAUACAUUUGAAUAUCUUUUUAGUAUUUCCAUAUGAUAAUUAUGAUGAUACAAAAUUGUACUAUAAAAGUGAUCUGAAUUAAUUCAUCAAUUGCAUGCCGUUUAGUUAGAAAUCAAUUGAUUUUGACAUAUCAUUUAGUUUUUUUUUUGUCACAAAUCAAUUGUUUUUUUAGUUAGAAAUCACUUUUAUGGUUUGUUAGAAAUCAAUUGUUUUUUUUUUGCCAUUUAGUUAGAAAUCAAUUGUUUUUUUUUGCCAUUAGUUAGAAAUCAAUUGUUUUUUUUUGCCAUUUAGUUAGAAAUCAAUUGUUUUUUAAGUCAUAAAUCAAUUGAUUUUGACAUAUCAUUUAGUUUACAAAUUAAGAACGAAGUAAAAACAUUCUUACACACAAACUUCAUGUGACAUUUAUUGGAUUGUUUUAACCCUUCUUUUAAUUGGUUUAUCUAUUAAACCAGUAAUUAUAAUGAGACUUCAACGAGCCUUAUAUUAGUUUUAAUUCUCAAAAAAUAAAUGGGAUUGGAAGUAACAAGUAUGAAAACUUGACCAAAACAGAUUCCAUAUGGUCUGUUCAACUCCUUGACUUUGUCAAUCCAAAGAGGUUGGGUUGACUCCUUUUGACCCAUGUUUUAUUAUUAUUUUCUCUCGUUUUUUUUUUUUUUUUAAAUGCAUAUACGUUAUUUAUGGUAUACAAUGAUAUAGGAAAUGUGUAAUGCGGAUUCAUACAAUAUUACACACAUGAUGAAAAUAACUAAAUUUACAGGAAUUAACAUCUGAGUUAGAUUCAAUGUACAUAUUUUCAGAAAAAAAAAUUCGUUUUGAAAUUCAGACUCGUUCCUCAUAUCAUCAUGUCAACUGAAAUGAUGGUUACAAUGAUAAUGAAUUUUGGUGUAAUUAAAACACUUUCAAACCAACGCGUUAUCUCCUCUUUCUUUUGUCUUUUUUCUUUGUUAACUUUUCUUUCAACUUAUUUUUGUUAACUCUUUUUUAACCUGUCGACAAAAGAAAUUAAUUUUUACAUAUUAUCGUAAAUGGUUAGUGUUUGGUAUAUGAAUCUCGGCCGCCGACCAAAAUCUGUACUUCUUGACAUUCGUGGAAAAUAAAAGCAUUAUAUUAUUAUUUUUCAAUAAAAUAUUGCAACGUGCGGAUGUAGCAGCGCUAUCACAUAAAUGUUAUUACUGAUAAGUAAAAUUUAUAAAAUAAAUAAAGGAUUUUUAUGAUGAACUAUUGUUAGCAUUUUUCUACAUUGCUCUGAUUUUGUCAGCAUUUUUGUAACUAUCUUUAGUCGUUUUCCCUUCUGGCAUAUAGUACAAAGACAUGGCAAGUGAUGAACAUUCAACUCAUGUUUAUCACAUUUCCAAUUAAUUCUAAAAUUGUUUGAUGUGAGUUCAGAUAUCGACAAUUGGUUACAAAACAAUUCAAAAAUAUUAAAUAUAAAUACAGUUAUUAUCUAUCCCGACAGACGGAAUAUAAGAGAAGAGAAUAUCUAUAAUCAGAAGGUUGACGUCAAUGGAAAUGGGGAUGGCCAGCAGCACCGCACGCACGCCUGCGUAGCACCGUCCUUUCAACCUUUGCGGCCUUCUAAGCUCUCACAGAUCUCAACCACUUCCUUUUGCCUUCCUUUUCAAACUUAUCGGCCCGAAGACGUAUGUAUGCAAACUAUGCAUGCAUACUUGUUAUACAAAAAUAAAAUCAAAUAAGAAGACGUAUAUAUUGCUUGUUUCCUUCGUAUGGGCCAUGGGGAUGUUCAAAUUGCACCGACUCACAUUCAUUGUAAUAAUGUAUACAAAGCAGCCCACUUCAGUUUUCUAAAUAGUCUGGCCCAUUUUAUCAUCCCGAAAAUGGGUUUUAAGACCACAACUAACUUUUUUUAUUGGGUUAAUCCACGUUUAAAAAAUAAGAAACAAGUGGCAAAACAAUAACUCCGACCUGCCGGAAUCGAACCAGCGACCUAAAGAUUUGCUGUCACAGACUACAGUCUUCCGCUCUACCAACUGAGCUAAGGUCGGUUGUUGUUAAAAACAAAAAGCCUAUUCUUAGUAAUGUUAAAUGUAAUCUUUUUUUCUAACUUCUAAACCGGAAAAGAGAACCAGCGAGAUUAUGACUACCAAAUCAUGAACCACCUUGAUUCCUCUCUUACGUUACAAAAAAAAAAAAAAACUCAGGGUCAAAACAUUCAUAACUUUGAUCAAACACACGUACAAUUGACCUACCAGUUUGAUUCAAAACCGGAUGGAUACGCACGGUUUCAAUUUAACCGAUUUGCACGUGCCGUGUAGAAUCGCACGUGUAAGCCCCACAGUUAUGUUCGUUCUUGUAGCCUUGUAGGCAUUGAAAUCGAUGAUGGGGAACUCGUUCGUUUUGUGGAGUAUGUUGAUAAAGACAACAUUGGAACUAUAACGUUCCAAGAGUGGAAGAGAUUUUCUUUGGUUAUACCCUCAUGAAGCCACGAUUGAAAACACAUAUAAUCACUGGGAAAGGUGUGCUUAAUCAUUGGAACUGUAUUAACAUUUUACCAAAAAAAAAAAAAAAAGGUGUGCUUAAUAGACAUUGGGGAGGAAGCUGUUAUAUAUACCAGCUGGUAUAAGCUAACAUGUCAAAAGAAACAGAUUGCUUCUCGGGAGGACUAGCCGUGCCAUUUCUAGGACUAGAGACGACAAUGAAGCAAGAGUUCAUGGAAACGUUGAGAGGUUUCUACAGAGGACUCUUACCAAAUCUUGUAGUAGAUCCAAGCAUAUUGUUUAUGAAGCUAUGAAGAAAAACAUCAAGAGCCAUUACAAUUUUUUCUCGGCGACAUUCUUUUUUCAUCACACUCUUAGAGUUAUAAAACUUAUAAUUAUGUGAGAUAACAGUAACAAGCUGAUUUACAUUUCUCAACUAUCGAUAUUUUGUAUGAUCAUUUACAUUUUAAUCUCGACUAUAAAAUAUGAUCCACGAUAUUGACAACGAUCGUAUACCUAUAAACAUUUGUUUAUAUAUAAUGGUACUCUCAACUUUACAUAUAUUUAUUUUAAAAUUCAGUGAUUCAAAUCUUUUUAUUGUUUUUAAUUAUAUUGUUUAGGAUACAAACAACAUUUUUUUAUUGUAAUACAAGCAACAUUACAAUAAAAUAUAGUUUACAUUCCAAAAUUUAAACGAUUUAGUUAGUUUUUAUUAAAAUAAGAGCAAUUGGAUUAAAAAAAAAGAAGAGCAAUUGGAUUAUUAAAAAAAAAAAACUAUAUAAGAGCAAUUGGAACAAUAGUUAUAAGGAUUUUCUUAAAUAGUAAACCGGUUAUUAUGGAAACCGCCGCCAAAAUAAGGGAAACACCGUGAUAACCCCCACAAAUAAAAGCACAUGUACAACAAGUUCCUUGUUAGUUAUGGACAUUGUAGAUGCUAUCCUCUAUCACAUGGCUUGUAACUAAAUAAAAGAGAGCAGGUAGUGAGAGAUAAUUGAUUAUGAAUAAGCACUCUUUAAACAAAAGUAUUAAAAAUAAUGCAUUGCAACUAGAAACCUUUUUCUUUAAUGAUAUAGACAUGCUAGAAACAAAACUAUAUUGAGCCGACGAUACAGUAGCAUAGUUAUAAAGUUAUAUGAAAUUCUACAGUUUUACACAGAUCCCGGAUCUUGAAAUUUUCUCAGUGUGUAUCUUUUAAGCAAUAAAAAACUUGUAAAUGGCAACUCGGAUCUUAAUAUAUAAAGAUAGUUUAGAAAGAAACAACAAGAUUGUAAAGCUAUUAAAAGCAAUCAGAAUACUUCUCGUGAGAGAAUCAACACAUCACCGGAAGAAGAAAUAAAAACAUUAAAGAUCGAAAAUACGAAAAGAAGAAAGGCGUAGCCUUCCCUUUGCCUCUGAUGACUUGCCGUUUGUAUCCUUCUCCGUUAACAAGAACAGAGAAAGAUAGCGGAACCGAGUAAACUCCGGUUAAUCGUAGCUUGAAUCCUUCUUACCGGCGUCUUCGUGUUCCGUUUCUUCCUCCAUAUCUUCUUCUUCUCUUCCUUAGAUUAGUGGCAAGGAGAGAUAAAAUGUUAGUGUUUCUUUUAGUCUUCUAUGUCUAUCUUCAACCCAUUUAUAAUGCUUCAUUUGGUCCCAUAUCCAAAUCAUUAUUAAUUUACUAUUGUUAUUUUUUAAAGUAUAUGUUUUGCUCAAUUUUAUUUCAACGCUAUGGAAUCUUUAUGAAAGUUAUACCUAACUUCAGUAAAAUUCUAAUAAGCACUUCAAUAAUGGGGGUGUGUUUUACUCUUAAACUAAUUCAGUUUGCAUUAUUAUUAUUUUGAGUAAUAUUCAGUUUGCAUUAUUGCAUGGCAUAUAAUUUUUUUAAAAAAAUUUCCACUUUGCAUUAUUGCAUAGCGUGGAAAUCUUAAAUGAAUUCCAGUUUUAAUCAAUAAUCCCACAUAAUAGUUUUAUACAAUGUUAGAUGCUAGCUACCUCUCAACUAUCAGUUUCUGGGAUGUGAAGAAAUGUCAGAAGCAUUUUCUCAAAACAAAAAAGAAGAAAUGUCAGAAGCAGUCGUCAAAUAUCAUUUGCUGAUAAAAAAAUAUGGUUUGCUUUCCUUCAUCUAAAACUAUUUUCUUAUUUUUCUAUAACUUUUCCAUGACAAUUAAAAACACAAGCCGGUUAUAUAUAUUCAUGUGUCUGUCAUUUCCACUAGGAAGCAAUAAAUAAUCAUUUUUAUAUACAAAUAAACCAACCAUAUAUACUUUUCGAUUUUUUUUUUUUUUGAACACAACUUUUCGAAUUUUUAAAAUACUCAUUUUGUAGGAGGUGAUCCAGUUUAGUGGUCAUACGAGGACCACUUAGCUCAGCUCAGCCGUGCAUCCAACUGACAUUGAGUUUGUAUCAAUUUGUCAAAAAAAAAACUUAUUUUUCCUCAACAACAAGUGGAGACAUACUUGCAUAAUUAGCUAUUUCCCCUUUCAGUUUACAAAACUAUGAAUAUGAUAAUCAAAAAGUUGGCUGCAUAGUGUAUAUCAUUAUGCCCAAAGUUGCAUUUUUCUGAAAGUUAAUGAACAAUCCUAGCUUGACACAUCACUGCUUACGUACUAACUAUGGCAAGAAUAUGUACUGCAUGAGUACACUUCUUUCUUUUGAAAUCAGCAUUAACUUAAUUCGAAAUCGUAGUAGAAAUAACACUCCAUGAAUAUAUCAACUUUUGAAUUAUCAUUAGCGGGUUUCGAUAAACAUGACUUAGCAAAACAAGUUUGACAUAUUUAUAAUGCUACAUAAUAUCUGUAUAUUAUAAAAUAAUAGGUGACUAGUUUGUGAAUGCUUAUUUAAGCUAAAUUUUAUUGAAUGUGAUCUUCUAGUUAAUUAAAUUUGUGAUUUAUUCCUAGCAAAAGUAACAUCACUAACAUUAUCUUGUGUUAGUAAGUAAAAAUCACGAUACAAGGGAAUAAAAACUAUUGUUGAGAAAGAAGAACCUAAAGCAUAGGAAUGAAUAUGAAUAUGAUUUAUAUAUUGUAUACAAUUAACUAAUGUGUAGUGUAGGCCUUUCUUUAUAUAGGUAAAAGCUCUUUACAACGUUUAAUUUUAUAACAAAACUAGCAAUGGACAAUAAUCACGUCGAAUAAGCACUAGUCCCACUAGAGUGGGAGCCAGUAAGCAACCAUCACUACUUCAACUCGUACCAGUUUAUUAUAUUGAAAUCAAUAUAUGAAUAUAGUUUUAAUUCCUUAUUGAGAAAGCUUCGUACCACUUUAGUUAUCACAAAUGAAGCACGUUACUUUUGCGAUUCUAUAAACUUUGAUUAGAAUCGAAAGUACUAAUCGGAAUAUAGAACACUAUAUAAAAGAUAGAGAAAAACACAUUUACGGUUUAAUUGAUUGCAUAAAUAUACACAACUAAGUACAUCUCAGUAUCUCGCUGAUAAACAAUUUUUUUUAAAAAGUAAAUAAAUAUACCAACUUUAAUUAGCGUUAUAUUUUAUCUAAGAACAUCUCCAACUUUAUUUAGAGUAAAAAAUGCUUCAAUGGUAUUCUAUUUUUCACUCUAUUAUAGAGUGAAAAAUAGGUUUAAUUCAAAUAUAGAGUAAUUUAUUUUUUUCUUGUUCAUCAUUCUAUUUUUUACUCUAAAAUAGAAUAUCAUUAGAGUAAACCAUUGGAAAUUGUCUUAGAAAGUGAUUAAAAGGAACUAGACGGAUGAUUAGACGCUGUCUAAAUUGAUUUCGAGAAGAUUCGUUUUAAAAUAAUUGUCUCGCUUAUGAAUGAUUUACCAUCUAUAUCGAUUUCUUUAGAACAUUGAUCUGAACUAUGUAAGAGUCAAAAACACUAUUUUCUCCUUUUUAUGCUUUGAUCUAAUGUGAUAUCACCCUUAAGUAAAUGAAAAAUAUUUAGACGAUAGAAACACAAAAAAAAAAAACAGUAAGGAUAAGUUCGAACUUCGGUUUUAUUUCAAGUCCUAUAUAGAAAACUCCCUCUCAAAGUCAAAACUAUAAAUUAAAAAAAGGAACACUUCUUCUCUCCCUCCUCCUACCUCAUGGUCCCUCUUAACCAUAUCACAUCAUAUACCGAUAACUUACCGGCGACCACCACCGGCAGGCUUUUUAGCCGGAGCAAUGUCCUCAUCAUCUGAUUCGACGUCACCGUACUGCCAUAUUCCAGUCCUAGACUUGCGAGCUUCCUCUUGGAACUUCUCCAAAGCAUCAAGAGCAGCUUUUUUGUCCUUGUGCUCAAACCUCCUACGUUUCUCCAUCCUCGCUAUUCCUCCCUGUGUACAUCAUCCAUCAUCAUAAACACCGAUUCUUAAAACAUGUUUUGUAAAGACAAGGUGAGAGAGAGAGAGAGAGACAAGAAACCAACCUGAAGCAUUGCACCAUUAACCGAGACCUCAUCGUCGACAGCAAUGAGAGUGACAACAAGUUCAGUUCCAGUGCCUUGUCCUUUGACUUUGCCUCCAGAUGCGUCUCUUUCUUCUAUCACUGCUUUGAACUCUUUGCCACUUCCCAAAGUUAUUGUAUGCAAAUACUCUCCAGCUUCAGGACCAAAGUCUUCUUCCAAGCUUGGAACCUUAAUGUAAGCAAGCCUGCAGAGCUGAGCAAGCCCUGGCGCUGAGGACACCGAAGGGUCCACUGGUCGGAUUGCGCUGUAAGGGACUACCUCUUGGUUUCCAUAAUCGAUGUAGAACACUUCAAACUUCUCAUCUGGAGACUCAACAGCUGCACGAGGUGCACUCACAAUCUGAAUAAAAAUAGGUAACGGUUAAACAAGUGAUUUAUUAAAGAUUUCAAUUUAUAUAUAUUUUUAAAAUAAAUGUUUAUGUAAUUUUUUUCAAAAAAAUUAAGGACCGAGGCCAAUGUUUCAUUGGGCUUUGCUCAGGACCAGCCUGGAAGAAAACAAAAUCACAGAAACUAAGAAAGUGGAUUUGUAUCUUACCAUUGCACGGUUCCAGGAGUUGUCAAGGCUAAACUGUGCAAGGACAAUGUCACCUCUCUUAGGGUUGAAGGAACCAAUGAUUGGAGCAUCUUUAAGACUCAAAGAUGCAAGCUGGUUCUGAAUAGAAGCUACUCUCUGAUCUCCAACCGUUUGAACAUAGAACCGACCACCUCCAAGUACUUCAGUAACAGCAACCUUCAAAGUCUCCUUUUGUCUGGUCUCAACGGUUGUACUUCCGUUUGAGACUUCUUGUCCUUCAACAUAGUUCUCCCAAACCUACAAAAGAUCAAAAAGCGGUUUAGCAAGAUGAUUUUAUUUUUGACUAAAAAGACAUGUGUUGCUUGUCUCACCUUCAGUUUCUGAUUCUUAGCAGAUCUCUCUGCUUGUUCAAGUAUAUGUGCUUCAACAAUCCUGUCUGCACCAAAGCUUGUCUGCAUUUUUGCUAAGCCAGCUUCAAGCAGAACCGUCGCCACAUUUGUCCUGGACUCCCACAUUGAUCCCAAGAAUGUACCGGUUCUAUCCACCGUCUCAACUUCAAUCUAUGUAGUUCAUAACAUAACAUUAUCAACACACCAUAUAGAACCAGAGAAAAUUGAAUUUAAUAUAUUAAAAAAAUAUUAGAGGGAGGAAAGACUUUGAGCGUGAAUAAAAUAUAUACUUUAAAAAAACAUAUAGAACAAGAGGAAACUGUAUAAAAUAUAUAGGAGGGAGGAAAAGACUUUGAGCUUGAAUAAAAUAUACUUAAAAAAAAAACAAUAUAGGCCAAGAGGAAACUGAGAUGUAAGUUUGGUCUACGUACCUCAACAUCUCUCUGCAUGAUCCUACGUCUCAUUACAGAGAUAGCUUCAUCUGAAAAGGGCUCUCCACGGCCAGGGCAUCUAACACCAGAGAACGCAAAGGCAAUGCUACACGUUAGCUUCGGAAUAUAAAGCUUACACCUAUGUCCGCUUAGUACAUAUUCCACAACAGCUGGUAUCCUCCUGAUUCUUUGAAGUGAUGGCAAGAAAUCUUUAGCUUUCUUAGCUGCGGCCACGGUUAGGUCUGUGAUGUGCAUGACAGGAGACUCUUUAGCAGAAUGGAUUCCUUUCUUUCCAGAGAGAGCACGAGAUUCAGCAGCAAGAAGAGCAUCAUAAUGGUUUGAUCUCUCUUCAAAAUCUCUGUGUCUAACCACAUUUCCAAAACCACGAGAUAGAAGAAGCUCAGCGAUGUUCACUCCAGCUGGCUGGCUGCCAGAGAUGGCUGAUGCAGCCACUUCCUGGGUAUCGCCUUUGGCGGGAGAUGGAAUGAACACUGAGCCAAAAUCCAUUAUCCUAUCACCAGCACCUGUUGGGGCAGCACCUUCUGCUGGUGUGACUUUCCUUGAGUAUUCCAUUUGAACAAUAACCUUUACCAAAGAGAAAAAAAAACAUCAAAUAUUGUUCAUGUGUGGACACAAAUGCAAUGACAAGAGUAGUAAGUAAUACUCUCUUGGUUUUAUUUUAAUUGUAGUUUUAGAUUUGUGCACAAAGAUUAAGAAAAUAUUUAAUUUUGUAUAUUAUCUAAAAAUGGAAAAUAUAGUCAUAUAGUCAUAUAGCAUAUAAAGUUCAUAAAUUUUGCAAAUUCUAAAACUGACACUUAUUUUGUAACGAAAAUUUUACUUUACAGUGAAAAAAAAAAUUGAAAGGGAGGGAGUACCUGUUUGCCAAUAAGCCUCUGUCUCAAGAACUCUCUUGCUUCACGAGCAUAAGGAGCUGGCUUCUCUUCUCUACGUGGAUUACCCAUUUUAGGACAUCUGAUACUCGAAAGAUUAACCCUUCUCUCUGCUGCUGGGCUCCCAUAUGGGAUAGCAUCAUCAGCAACUACAAUACAGUCCCCACUCACCACCUCCACUACCUAAAAAGAGAUAAUAAAACCAAUGACUCAAAAACCAAAGCAAAGGAGAAAGACAGUACUCAGCCAAGAGAGAUGUUUACCUUUCCGGUAAAGUUCUGGUCAUGAAGUGCCUUAGAGUUUGUAGCUGGUGGAACAUAGUUAGCCCACAUUUUCACCUUAUCUUUUUUGCAUUUUAGCUCAGCAGCUUUCAGCUUUCUCUUGGCUUCCUCCUCCAUCAUGUUUGCACUCCAUUCAACAUAUUUAGCAAGACCCUUAAAAUUAAAUAACAAUCAAUGUCAUUAACUUUGUUUAAGAGUAGUUUUUACAACUAAUAUAAGCACAUACAUUUUCAACGAGCUCUAGCCCCAAGUCUUUAACUGCUUCCCCAUCAGAGUAAUGAACUGAACCAAUCAGAUUGUUGAACUUGUCAACGCCUUCAAGAACAAUCCGAACCUGUAGAAUGCAGUUUCGAGAUUAAGAUAGUCCAAAAUGCCAAAAAUAAAGAUAAAAACAUGAUAAAAAAAAACUUACAUCUCUGCUAAGAACACGGUGCUCAGUGAAGUACUUGGCUUCAGCUGCAAAAGGAUCAGCAGAAACCUCCACAGACGAUGCAGCUGCAGAGGCAGCAAGUCUCUGAGCUGACGUUAGAGGAGCUUUUGAUGACUCACCAGAAGCAUCUCCGCUGGACUCAUCUGGAACCGUCUCAACAACGUUUCCAUUUGUGUUUCUUCUUCCCAUUGAUGGAGACUACAAUUGUCCGAAAGAAAACGUCUAUAACUUUGUUGCAUUUUAAAAUGUCAAACAGGGAAACAAAGUUUAUAAUUCACCUGGAUUCCAGCAACGAACACUUGCACAAACUGGAACUCUGGAAGAAGAUAAACACGGAUGCUGCUUCCAUCGCGCACCUGCUCAACAAUGCCUUCCAUAGGCUUGCCUUUGUUGGCAGCCAACAGCCCCAUGGCGUCAAAGCCUGCAGAGUCUCCAAUGGCAGAAGGAGGGAGGUCUCUGAUAGAUGCCUCAGCAGCACCAGGAACCUGAUUCACCAUCAAAUCUAAUAAUAAACUACAUGAUUUUGGGGAAUAUAAAGUUAAGGAGGAGGAAGACCAACCUUGCUCCAGCAACCAACUCCUUCUUGACUAGCCUGCUCUUGGAGCUGAAGCAGCUCUGUAAUGUGAGUGGGACUAACCUUACCCUGAUUCUGCUGACCUGGCUCCCUAACCUGCCCAUAGUACAAGCAUUAAUAACAAACAUAACUCAGUCAAUAUUGCAAUAUAAUGGUUAUUAUAAUCAAUAUUGAAAUAUAAUGGUUGUUAUAAUAAUCACCUUUGCCCAACCAUUUUGAACAACAAGCUUUGCAACAUUCUGGGUUCCAAGGAAAACAGAGCCAAAUUCUCUUCCAGCAAGGGCUUCAACUUUGUAUUCCACUCUGAAAGAAAUUUCCUGUUCAAAUAACAAAAAAAAAAGAAGAAGCAUUUACUUUAGAUCAAAUAAUAUUAUUCAACCACAAUAAUCACUGUUGUAAUUAGUUAGCAAAGGAUUUAGACUUUGGUACCUUUCCUAUGCAAAGUUUCCUCAGAAACUCCUUGCUUUCCCAUGCAAAAGGCUCAUCCUUACCUCCCCUGCGAGCCUAAACAGAGCAAAAACCAAUUAAUUCAAGUAAAACAAAAAGGUUGUGAAGAAAGCUUUUUUGUCAAAUACCCAUUUCUGAUAAUUUUAAUCUUAAUUUAAACCUAUUUAAAAAUAAAAAAAUAAUGAUUUUGGAAUGUAGAGUAAAGCUCACCAUCUUAGGUGCCAUGAGGCAAGAGAGAGUGAUAGCCUUUUCCGGUGGAGCUCCAGGUCUGUUGUGGACCAAAGUAGUGAUCACCAAACAGUCUCCGGAGGUAACAGCCUUCACUCUUCCUUUGAGCCAUUGGUUCUCAGUCGCUGACGCCAUCUUCACUGGCUUAAGACCUGCACCAACCACAAUAAAUACCCUUUUAACAAAAAAAAACAUUCAUAAUAAUAAUAAUAAUUCGAUGCUGCUGCUUUCAAAAAUGUGCAUUGGUAUCAGAUCGUCCAAAUCACGAGAGACAGAGAUACAUGCAUCGAUUAAAAAAAAAGGUUAUAAAAUUUAUCCCACGAUGAAUCACAAAAAUGCACUUUAAUGUCGAUCUACACUAUAGAGCUCGUUCGAUCGAGUUAAUUAAACCGAACAUAACAAAAAAAAAACAGACGAUAUACAUUAACGCACGAUCAUAACAAGUCAAGACAAAUCAGAUCGGGACUAAUCGAAAACGAUCAAUUGAGUCAACAGACGAUUAGAUCUACAAUGACUUCUUCGAUGGUUUCCAUGAACGUACCUUGAUCAACCAAAUGAGACAGGAAAAAAAAAAACAAAUUAGAUCCGGAGAUCCUUCUCUGUCUCAAUCUGUGACAGAACACAAAAUGAGAAGAAGCUCUGAGUUUCGGACACAAAAAGUUAUAACGGCGGAUCUCGAGAUAAGAGGUGAGAGAGACACAGGGGAAUUGUGCAGGAGGAGGUUAAAAAGAUAUAUAAACAGAGUUACAAAGCAGAGGGGGGGAGGUAAUAAGCAAUUGUCUGUUUUACCCUCGCUGUUUGGGAUAUAUUACGGGGAUAUGCCAUUGUAGAAAAGCUGAAAAGAGUUGGGUUUAAGGAUCGUACCGAGGAAAGUGAAAAUCACAUUGUCUGGAUUCACUUUCGAGUUUAACUACUACAGAUCUGCCCUAAAAGCCUAUUUUACCCGAUUUUGCAUAUCUAGUCCUUUUUAUUAUUUUCAUUUGGUAUUUAGACAUUAUAUACUCUUUUAUUCAAUAUACCACCAGAUUUAGAUUGAUAAAACAGCUUAUCGACGCAAUAAAAGAGAGAGCUAUUAUGUUUUUAUUUUAAAUGACGUUAAUAGCUUUUAUGUUUUAAAAUAAAUAAAAUUAUAAUGUUUGGUUUGAUUAUUAUCAACGGUGAUUGAGUGAAACACUUAAAACUGAUGAUUCUUUUGUGCUUAAUGUUUAUUGUGAUUUCCGAAUAUUUCCAUUAAUGAUUUGGAGUUUAUCCUUCUUUCGUCAACUGUCACCUUCUGAAGGUUACGUAUAGGGGCAAUUAAUGUGUAAGAUAGAGUCAUAGAGGAACUAAAUUGCAUGUGACUAUAAAGUUGGAGAAACAUUUGCAAUAACUCUGGAAUAAAUAUAAAGUCAACGCAUCGUCGAGAAUUGAAGUAUCCUUUAGUUUUCGGAACAUCGUAGAAAAUAAGAAAUUAACAGCAGGAGACUGUUAUGAAUCAUGAGGAAACUGCAAGGUAAACCAAAUUCAUCAGGGAAAGGCACUUGUUUUUACUAAAAACAAAAAAAAUACUGUUGUUUUAAGGCUUGUUUAUUUAUGUUUGGACUAUGGUUAUACACUUAUACACACCCCGAAUUUUCCCAUUUUUUGGACGCUACUGUGAGAUUGAACCUAUAACGCGAAGGCCAUUAAGGUCAUGACUCAUGAGUCAAACUAGGCCUGGGCGUUCGGGUAUCCGUUCGGGUUCAGAUCGGGUUUUUCAGAUUUCGGUUCCAUUUUGUAACAUCUCCUAGAUCUCAUUCUAGUAAAUUUAUAAGUACGGAUCGGAUUCGGAUAUAACACUUCGGAUAUGUCCGAAGUAACCAUAUAUCAUUCGGAUAUGGUUUUUUUUUUUAACACUGAUUGUAUUUGUAAUCUGAAAUUCAGAAAGAACAACUUACCUCCCUAAAAACACACACCUUAUAGACAGAGGAUUGGGAGGAAUAAGAAAACAGAAAAAUAAAAGACACCAGUAGGUGCCAAAACAAAGCAUGAACAAAUGAAACAUGCUAGAGGCUCGACAGCCAGCAGGGAAGCUGUGAUAGCCUGUCAUGGAGAUUCCAUUGGCAGCCUCUGCUCGGAUAGUAGAUUACUAGCCAGCAGGGACCCUAGUCGCCAGAUAAUUGGUAGCGAUGGACCAGUGUAACGCUGAUAGCAAUGCUAGUAGCAACACCAUUCUCAGCAAGAGAUACAUGCUUUAAACUCCAAUCAUCAAAGGGGCUUAGCUCCUUAUUGCUUUCACUCUAUAUUGGAAGUGAAGGUAAUGCAAAGGCUACAAGAUAGCAUCUUCAUCAUGAAAGAAGAAGACCUCAUGUCGCAUGUUUGCCAAGAUUAUGGGACAAACUGUUAAAGCAUAAGAACAGACUUUUAAAACAAUUUGGCUCUUCUUUUAUCCACAUUAGCGGCUUGAAAAGAAACCAGUUUUUGGAGAUCCGUCUCUGUUCUGAAACAUUAUGGUAGAAGCAAAUCGACACAGACCGUUGCUCCAUAAGGAUCCGAAAAUAAUGACAAAAACCAUGGCUCCACCAGAAGCCUGCAGUUCUAAAAAAUAACAUCAUACAAAACGAGAAGUGGACCUUAACCCUUUACCCUCACAAGGGCCUAAGCUAGGGUCACCAACCUCCACAUGCCACCACUGAGAACAUACCAAGAGCAAGCUGAAAUCCACCCUCAGAAAGACUGUACUACUUUCACAGCAACUGAAAGUUGAAGAUAAGUUGAACCUAGACAAUGGCCGAGACAGGAAACCACCAUCCAGUCCAGCGAAAUCCAAGUGCCCCAUCAUCUGAAAGAGAUUAAGCCAGCGAAACAACCUCCUUGUAAUCCACACACACCCUCGUUGAAAUCAUCACCAAAACCAAAAUCUCUACAGUUGGAGAAGACUCAAGCACCACCACAGCUAACCUUACGGCGAAAGAAGAAGUGAAUCCGGCGACCGCACAGGCGGCGGCCGCCAGAGAGACGAGAUCCGCCCUAAGUGAUUGGUUCUUGUAACUCUAAACCAUAUAUCAUUCGGAUUCGGGUUAUAUCGGAUUGGUUCGGGUAUAUCCAAAGUAAAAUCUAAAAUUUAAAAGUAAAACAUAAGAAAUAUAUCUUUCUUUGUAUAUAAUGGAGUAUUUAAGGUGUUUAUUUAAAUUUUCAAUACUUAUUGUUAGAUAUUAUAUCCAAAUAAAUAUGAAAUUGAAUAUUUGAAGUACAUGUUUAUGUUUUAAAUAUUUAUAUUAUAUAUUAAUUUGGAUAUUCGGAUCGGUUUCUUCAGAUAUUUUUUCGGGUUUUCGGAUUUUUCGGGUUUUCGGGUUACUCGUUUGAGUUCGGUUAAUAACACUUCGGAUUCGGAUAUGUUUUGUAACACCCUAUAAGAUCCAUUGAGGUAUUUUUUACAUUUCGAAUCGGGUACGGAUCGGGUGUUUUGGUUCGGAUUCGGUUCGGAUUUCGGGUUUCGAAUUUUAUGCCCAGCCCUAAGUGUCCGAAUGGAGGAGCGGGACAAGUGCAGAUCUCCUGCACAUGCAGUUCUCCCACACUGCAUUCACCAUUCACCAUUUUUUGUUUGCAAAAGCAGUUCAAGCGGGAGAUCUGCAUGCAGUUCAAUAUUUUCUGUCUUUUUGUGGAAAAAGCAGGAGAUCUGCAUGCAUAUCUCACCCACCAACAUUUGGUGGUGUUGAUCUGCCUUUUUUUUUCGGUCAAUAAAUAACUUUGUUACAACACAUAAUUUUAAAAAUAUAUUUAUCUAGUUUUAUGAAUACAAUAUUUUUAUUUUAUUUCAUUUACAACUUUAACAAUAUAAAAUUAUCAUUCUCUACUUAUUAUUUUUUGUCAUUUAAUUUUUAAUUUUUAUAAAUAAAAAAUAAAAGAAGUAUAAGUAUCUUAAAAACAUUUACAGGCAUUUCGUCCUAUCCUAUAACAUUUAUUGUUUUAAUAUCUGAAAGAAGUAUAAGUAUCUUAAAAAUAUUUAUUGUUUUAAUAUCUGAUCUAUAGUUUUGAACUGAUUUUAUCAUUCAUAAGUUAUACUAAAUUAUUCGAUCUGGUUCUCUCCUGCAUGAUCCGCUUGAUCUGCACUUGUCCCGCUUGAUCUGCACUUGUCCUACUUGAUCUGCUUGAUCUGUCGUGCUUGAACUGCUUUUACCAUUCGAAACCUAGUGUCCGAAUGGAGGAGCGGGACAAGUGCAGAUCUCCUGCACAUGCAGUUAUCCCGCUCUGCAUUCAUCAUUCACCAUUUUCUGUUUACAAAAGCAGUUCAAGCAGGAGAUCUGCAUGCAGUUCAAUAUUUUUUUGUCUUUUUGUGGAAAAAGCAGGAGAUCUCCAUGCAGAUCUCACCCGCCAACAUUUGGUGGUGUUGAUCUGCUUUUUUUUUUGUUUGAUCAAUAAAUAACUUUAUUACAACACAUAACUUUAAAAAUAUAUUUAUCUAGUUUUAUGAAUACAAUAUUUUUAUUUUAUUUUAUUUACAAUUUUAACAAUACAAAAUUAUCAUUUUCUACUUAUUAUUUUUUGUCAUAUAAUUUUUAAUUUUUAUAAAUAAGAAAAUAAAAGAAGUAUAAGUAUCUUAUAAAACAUUUACAUACAUUUCAGCCGAUUCUAUAACAUCUAAGAUAUUUGUUUAGAUAUCUAAGUGUCAUUUUUUUUUGUUUUAAUAUAUGAUCUAUAGUGUUAAACUGGUUUUGUCAUUCAUAAGUUAUAAUAAAUUAUUUGAUAUGGUUCUCUCCUGCAUGAUCUGCUUGAUCUGCACUUGUCCUACUUGAUCUGCAUGAUCUGCUUGAUCUGUCCUGCUUAAACUGCUUUUACCAUUCGAAGCAUUUUAAGUCAAACGCAGUGCAGUAAAUCCCCACCCACAAAACUCGCAGCAGACACGAUUAAUUAAAUGCGUAGCAAAUUCUAUACACACGCAUUUUCUCAUUUCUUCUUUCUAGAAAAGUUACAAAAUUUCAAACACAUACACGACAGCGACAAAGACAAAUACUAAUAAAUAACACGUGUAUGUUAUUUUAAUAUAACCACUAGCUAUUCCAAAUUUCCAAUCACCGUCAGUCACGUUUCGAUAUGGAAACAAAAACCCUUCACGCAGAUAAUUCGUGACACGAAGAACCCAUUACAGAUUAUUUUUAUCAUUACAUAGAAGAACUGGUUAUAUCCACUACGGAGCAUGAUCGCCAAUCAAUAUUUCACUCACAUAUCCUUCAAAACCCUACCGUUUGCAUGUUAGUUGGACUACUCAACUCUUUUUUUUUCUUUUUUGAGAAAACUUUAGUUUCAACUUCUGUCUUUAGAGAUGUUUGCGCGUCUGAUAUAAAUAAGCAACGUUGAGCGAAUAGUUUUAGAAUGGUGAAAACGAAAGAGAUGAGCUACUGAAUAUUAUAUGCAAACCUUAUUUUGUAAUUUCUUCGUGAUCAAGUCGAUCUCCCGCGGAUUGCCCACGUUACAUAUCAUAAAAAUAUGAUCAGCAUAUUCAAAUUUUCAUUUAUUUUUUUAUCCUCAGAUAUUAUUAUAUUACCUUAUGUUAAUUGCAUCUAUUCAAUCAUCGAAAUGUAAGUCAUUUUUAACUAAUUAAUCGGUCGUUUUAGUUAAGUACUCAACCCACAUAGCAUUUUCUAUUCUCCAAUCACUUACAAGAAAUUAGUUGUAAAAGAAUAUGGAAUAUUUUUGUUUUGAACAUUGACUUGACCUUUUAAAAAAAUAUGAGCGUUACUCAGACAACUAUCACAUCAUUACAUUUACAUCUUUAUAAUAUGAAUUAUGAGUUUUCAUGAAUUAUAGCAUUCGAAACCCGUACACUACAAUAAUGACAUAUCUCAUUAUGAAAAUUCUCUUAUAGUUGUUUUUUUUAACUUAAUUCUCUUAUAGUUGUUUCUAGCAAAUUUACAUUCAAACAUAAUAUGUAGUUUAGGUAAAUUAUUUUUGUGUUUCAAAAAGUGUUUCAAAACAAAAACUUUAGGUAAAUUUUAAAAUAGCAAGAAUAUAAUAAUAGAAUUUUCUUUGGAGGGGUAAACCAACGUAUUUGACUUUACAACCUGUAACAUCUCCUUUAUUGGAAAAGUAAAAAACCUGAACCACAGUUACAAAAAAAAAAAAAAACCUGAACCACAAACGAUAAUAGUAAAAAUUAGAUCUGUCCGGCCAGACAUCAACGAGCAAGACAAAGUAUAUAAACCCCUUCGAUGCUUCUUUAUUUCUUCAAUAGUAAAUAAUCUUGUAGUAAAUACAUUAUUUUUGGUUCUGUUUCAUUUUUCAUUAUUUUCUUUUAUUUUGUAAGAAAAAUAAAAGAAAAUAAUUAACAUAUUAAAUUAAUAAAAGAUGGAUUACAUUUCUCUGACCAUAGUUGCAUUCCUAGUCGCUUUUGCCUCUCCAGUGGUUCUAGCCACUGAUACAGCGCCGAUUCCAGAAGACAGGUCCCAAAUCCCGCAAUGGUUCCAGACAAACGUUGCACCUUAUUCCCAGAGAAAGGGAACCCUAGACCCCUCCCUGGAAGCUGCUGAAACAGCACGACAAGUUAUCACCGUAAGUUACAAUAUUGUAGUCUGAUAUUCUGGUUCGGUUUUAAUAAAUUUAAUGAACACGAUUGAUUUUUUUGAAAUUUACAAUCUAUUAUAACCUGAUUAAAAUUUAAAAAUACAUUGCAAGUCAAAAAGAUGUAUAUUUGUAAAACUUUAUUUUCAAAACAUAAAUCUUUCUAAAACGAAAGGACUAUUUCAUUGCAGGUGAAUCAAAAAGGAGGCGCUAACUUUAAGACAAUAAACGAAGCGAUCAAGAGCAUUCCGACUGGAAACAAGAACCGUGUGGUCAUCAAGUUGGCUCCAGGUGUAUACAAUGAAAAGGUCACGAUCGACGUGGCGCGACCAUUCAUUACAUUGCUUGGUCAACCUGGUUCAGAAACGAUCUUGACUUACCACGGAACGGCCGCUCAGUACGGAACCGUUGAGAGUGCAACUCUUAUAGUCUGGUCUGACUAUUUCUUGGCAGCUAACCUCAUCAUCAAGGUAUGUGAAAUAUAUAUAUAUAUAUAUAUAUAUACGUUCUACGUAUGUUAUCGCAUUACUUGCUAUAUAUAUACUGAUCUAAUGUAUGUGUAUAUUUGAUUAUGUUAUUCUGUAGAAUACUGCUCCUAUGCCGAAACCAGGUGCACAAGGACAAGCUCUAGCUAUGAGGAUCAACGGUGACAAGGCAGCUUUUUACAGCUGUAAAUUCUACGGUUUUCAAGAUACUCUUUGCGACGACAAAGGCAACCAUUUCUUUAAGGACUGUUACAUCGAAGGAACCUAUGAUUUUAUCUUCGGAAGAGGAGCUUCCUUGUACUUGGUAAGCUAUGAGAUAUCUCUAAACACAAAAUCACUAAAUUCUUAUAUAUAACAUGUUUAUAUAAAUAUUUGUUUAUAAAUCAAUAGAACACGCAAUUACACGCUGUUGGAGAUGGAUUAAGAGUGAUCACGGCACAAGCUCGACAAAGUGAUACCGAGCAAAACGGAUACACGUUCGUGCACUGCAAAAUCACUGGGACCGGAACCGGAAUUUAUUUGGGCCGGUCUUGGAUGAGCCAUCCAAAAGUUAUCUAUGCUUUUACAGAGAUGAGUAGCGUGGUCAAUCCAGCUGGCUGGAGGGAAAACUUCAACCGCGGCUAUGACAAGUAACAUUUCAUAUCAUCUCAAUCACAUAUAUAACUCGCUCAGUUACAUUUUCAUAUAUUUGAUCAUAAACUGAAUCGGAUAUUGUGAUUUGUAUAAAUUCAGGACGGUGUUCUAUGGAGAAUACAAGUGUUUCGGACCAGGUUCACACCAAGAGAAGAGAGUGCCUUACACACAAGAUGUUGAUCAAAACGAAGUUAGGCCUUUCCUCACUCUUGGUUACAUCAAGGGUUCCACUUGGCUACUUCCUCCACCUAAAUACUGAAAAUUUUCUUAAGAUAAAAUAUUGAUUAAUGUAACAGUUUUUAAUCCUUAAACCAGUGAAAUGUUCCCAUCUUUUAUUUUUUGUAUUACUUGAGAUAUGGAACUAAUUCAAUCGUUUUGAUAUAUUAAUAUGUUCCCCGGAAGUUUGUGGUGUUACUCGUUAUUUAUCUACAAAUUCUAUAAACAUGUGAUAUAUACGUAACUGACUAAUGUUUUAACACGACACUUUUUUGUAAAACAUGAUUGUAAUUAUAAUAAUUAAUCAAAACUAACCAAGUAAAUUAUGGUCACAUUUCCUUAACUUAAAUAUCUCUUAGUUCUAAACAAUCAAAAUUAUGGUCACACAGACGCACACCAUUGAGUUCAUGAUAUGUUUGACGUACAAACAAAAAGAAAGAGUCUGUCAAUGUGUCCACGUGAUAUGUUUCUAUCAGGACAUAUUUUUUGUAGCUGCAAGUGUUAAUAUACUCCCCCAUAGAUUACGUGUACUUGGUAGAUUUCCUCGUUUUUAAUUUUUGUAGUUCUAGUUGCAAAUGUUAUGAUUUGAUUUUCCUGUAUCUAAUAUAGGGUACUAUUUUAGGGUAUCAAAUAAUUUACUUAUACGAUUUACCACAAAGAGAUUCAUUCAUGCAUUAAAAUUGACACGAGGUCAAAAGUAAAAUAAGGAAUUUAAAAAUUGGGAUAGGGGCGACAGAGCCAGGUAAGCAAAGAGUCGCCAUCCAAUUAUAUGAGCAUGCGCAGCGGCGAACCGCUCAUUGAAGUUCAGGAAAUUAAUUUUUUUUUUUGUUUGAUUUUUUUUUUUUUAAAAAUUAAAUAAAGUGAUCAAUAACAGGCCGCCACGUGGUGUGGGGUCCGCUGAACAGUCACGACCCGGGUUCACGCGGAAGAGACGGGACGAGCCGAAGUCUUCAUUUAUGCUUAUUUUAAUAUUUUUUUUUUUGGAAAACGUGUGACCCCCUCCCCUUGAACUCCGAUGCGUAUGCUCUAAAGAAUGAAGGAUAGCAACUUCUGCAACGUGUGUGUACUUGGGAGUUGGGUCUGACUAUAAUUCCGAAUCUUGUUCCUACGGUUUCAGACCAUCCGAUUCUUAACGGUUCAGAUUGUUUAGCAGCAUCACAGUACGUCACGCAAGAAUCGCGUCCUUAGACCAUCUACAAUGCUACACUAAAAUUUACUCUAUAUUCCACUCUAAAAUAGAGUAACUCUAUUAUAGAGUUGGAUUUGCUCCAAUGGUUCACUCUAUAAUAGAGUUACUCUAUAAUAGAGUGAAAUAUAGAGUAAUCUUAUUUUUUCACUCUAUAUUUGGAGUAAAAAAACAAGAUUACUCUAUAUUCCACUCUAUUAUAGAGUAACUCUAUUAUAGAGUGAACCAUUGGAGCAAAUUCAACUCUAUAAUGAGUUACUCUAUUGUAGAGUGAAAUAUAGAGUAAAUUUUAGUGUUGCAUUGGAGAUGCCCUUACUCCUUGUUUCCCGCAUCUUCCACAUGAUAAAAAUUGACGGUCAAUUUUUAUUUUGUUUCAUGCUUUGUUGAAAUAAAUAUAUACAUUUUGUUAAUUAUGAAAUGUAUAUUUUCACGUUGAUCAUAUUCUAAAGUAUAUUCGGAUUAACCAUCUUUAAUUUCACCAAAUGCCAUUAAAAAUCACCAACGAUGUCCCUAGAAUGCCCUUUAUAUAAUAUUUCUUUCAUAAUAGUAUGAUAUUAUCAAGUUUAAAGGUUUUCUUCACCAGAAAAUAUACAUUUUAAUAGAAAUGAUUACUAAAUAAAAAUAAAGAAAAUUAUGAUUUUAUGACGUUAAUGAGUCGCGUAUAUAUAUAUAUUAUUUAGAUGAUGAAGAAUGAAUAGUUAGGGGAAUCCAUUGUACUAGAUGCAUACUUUUUUGUUCUAACGUGGACCUUAUGUAAGAUGUCUAUCCACAACUUUCUAAAUCAAUUCUACAAUUAAAUAUCAUUAAUUUCUUAUAAGCCAUAGAAAACUUUUGUAAGAAAAAGGAAGCAAAAGUCAUAUUGAUCUGCUUUUGGGAAGAUCAAUUAGUCAUAAAAAUGGUUGUAACAUUGAUGAAAGGAUAAUAACACCGUUCCGAGUUGUUGACCAAACAAGAAAAAUAAGAGAACCACCUUCCCUAGUUCAGUAUGUUUAACCAAAAGUGAAAAGACAGAAAAAUACUAAUCAACUAAAUACUCAUCCCCCAGUUCCAACCUUUCUGGGGGUCCAACACGUCUUUUACAAAAAAAAAAAAAAGAGUACUAUUAAGAAGCAAACCUCUUAUUUUUCCUCAUUUACGUAAAUAUAUAUCUCUAAAAAACCUCUAAUUACAAAAUCUGUAAUUUCACUUGUCUAGCAACAUAAACAUGAAAAAUAUUAUUUAUUUCUGAUUUUCCAAAUAAUGUUAUAAGCAUUUUAGUAUAUUUAACUAAUAAAUUUUAGAUGUUUCAUUAAAGUUUUUAAUGUAUUUUUGAGCCAUUUUCUUUUUUCAAUGUUUUUUUGUGUCACGCAAAGCAAUUUUUUUGGAGGAAAAUGUAGGGUUUGUAUUACUGACCUUUUUGAGAUUUGAUUUGACUUAAAAAAGCCAAAAAAAGUUAGGAAGAAAUUGAAAGAUAAAUAAAUGCAAACAAAAAAGAAAGCGAAAUUAGAUAGUAAAGGACAAAAGCGUCAUUUUCAGGCAUAAGAGAGUUUCUCUUUCGUCUCCAUUCAAAAUUAACGCUUUCUCUAUCAUCCAUCCCCUCCUACAAAUACACUCUUCCUCUCUUCUCUUCUUCCUCCUCCCAUCAUCUCUCAAUCUCAAUUCGAAGAAAAACUCCCAUUGAGCCAUCAUGAAUGCUCUAGCCGCAACCAACAGAAACUUCCGUCACGCAUCGCGAAUCCUCGGCCUGGAUUCGAAGAUCGAGAAGAGUCUCAUGAUCCCAUUCCGAGAAAUCAAGGUCGAAUGCACGAUCCCCAAAGACGACGGGACCCUCGUCUCCUACAUCGGAUUCAGGGUCCAGCACGACAAUUCUCGCGGACCCAUGAAGGGUGGAAUCAGAUAUCACCCCGAGGUUCAUCUCUUUGCUAUAAAGUCUCUCCCUUUUGAUCUUGGGUUCUUGUAAUUGGGAUCUUGAAUCGAAUCUAGGGAUUGGGUUUGUCCAAAGUUUUGAUUUUUAUGAUUUUUUUUUAAUUUUUUUGAAGGUGGAUCCGGAUGAAGUGAACGCUUUAGCUCAGCUGAUGACGUGGAAGACAGCUGUCGCGGACAUUCCGUACGGUGGAGCUAAAGGUGGGAUCGGAUGCAGCCCUCGCGACUUGAGUUUGAGCGAGCUCGAGCGUCUUACACGUGUCUUCACGCAGAAGAUCCAUGAUCUCAUUGGUAUUCACACCGAUGUCCCUGCUCCUGACAUGGGGACCAACGCUCAGACCAUGGCUUGGAUUCUUGAUGAGUACUCCAAGUUUCAUGGGCAUUCCCCUGCUGUUGUCACCGGCAAGCCCAUUGUAAGAGAGGCCUUUGAUUAUGAUUGUGGAUCACAACCAAAGUUUUGAGCUUUUUCAUUAGUGGAUGAGUGUUUGUUCACUUUGGUUAUAGGAUCUUGGUGGUUCGCUUGGUAGAGAAGCUGCUACAGGACGUGGUGUGGUCUAUGCCACUGAAGCUCUUCUUGCUGAGUAUGGCAAAUCGAUUCAGGGAUUGACAUUUGUUGUUCAGGUAAAAGAUUUUAAUGUUGUAGGUUUCAUAUUAGAUAAUGUUUUAUUUCAAUGCAUAUAUAUUAAAAAAAAAACUAUUUAUUAUCAAAAAUAUCAUUAAAAUAUAAUGUAAAACUUUUUUUUGGUUCAAAGAUGUAAAACUAAUUUAUUCAAUUAUAAAUAUAUAUCAUAAAAAAUACAUUUGAAUAUACAAUUUUUGAUAAUUUUAAAGUUACCUAUAUUUGUGCAAACAUCUUCUAUAAUGAAACAACCAAACCUCUCUUUUAAAACAUAUUGUCUGAGAAUGAGAAGAAGUUGAGAGAUUUGGUUGAUGUGUGAUGACAGGGUUUUGGGAAUGUUGGAACAUGGGCAGCUAAGCUGAUCCAUGAGAAAGGUGGGAAAGUGGUUGCUGUGAGUGACAUUACAGGUGCAGUCAGAAACCCUGAAGGUAUCGACAUCAACGCUCUUCUGAAACACAAAGAGGCAACUGGAAGUCUCAAUGAGUUCACUGGCGGAGACGCUAUGGACUCUGACGAACUGUUGCUCCAUGAGUGUGAUGUUCUCAUUCCUUGUGCUCUUGGUGGUGUCCUGAACAAGUAAGCUUUUCUCUCAUCAAAUCAGAACCAACCAUAGAGAUUCAAAUUUCUGAUUCUUUUCUCGAUCUUUUUGGUUAGGGAGAAUGCUGCAGAUGUGAAGGCUAAGUUCAUUGUAGAGGCAGCUAACCAUCCAACUGAUCCAGAUGCUGAUGAGGUAAUGAUAACAACACUAAAUAAACCCAUCUCUUGUAAUGUAAUCCUAAUCUGUUAUGAUUAUUUGGCAGAUUCUGUCGAAGAAAGGAGUGAUUAUACUACCAGAUAUAUACGCAAACGCAGGAGGAGUGACUGUGAGUUACUUUGAGUGGGUUCAGAACAUUCAAGGGUUCAUGUGGGAAGAGGAGAAAGUGAAUCUAGAGCUACAAAAGUACAUGACUCGAGCCUUUCACAACAUCAAGACAAUGUGCCAUACUCAUUCCUGCAACCUCCGUAUGGGUGCUUUCACCCUUGGAGUUAGCCGUGUCGCUCGAGCCACCCAGUUGCGUGGUUGGGAAGCGUAGUGAAAAUUUUCCCCCAUAUACUCUGUUUUUUUCCUCUGUUUUCCCCUGUUUUUUCCUCUGUUUUCCCCUGUUUUUUUGUGUUUAAUUGUUACUCAAAAUCAUUCAAAUGAAUUGAAUAACUAACCGAAUAAAAUAAAAUAAUAUUUUUGUCUUUUGUAUUCAACAUAAAGUUUUCAAAAUGGACUGAGAAUUACACACAUACAAACAGAGAACACUUCUCUGUUUUGGGAUGAAAGAGUUACAAAGUCUUUAUACUUAGGCCCUGUUCGUUUCGUGGUAGCCAGCGUCAGCGACCAGAGUCAGCGACCAGCGACUGCGACAUAGUGUCGCUGAUAGUUGUUCGUUUGCAGAUCGCGAGGUUGAUCGCAGCGGUUGUCGCUGAGUUGUUCGUUUCAGUAUCGCUGGCGACCAAAUAUUUAUUUGAUAUCAUUUUUUUUAUCGCAGGUUUUUGGUCGCAAACGCUGAAUUUUCGGCGAUCAAAAUUUUUAAUCGCGGGUCGCUAGCGUCUGGUCGCUGCGAUCAGUCGCUGACUCCGCGACCGGUAAACGAACAACGUUUAGUCGCUGAAAUUGGUCGCUGACGCUAGCGACCUCCAAACGAACAGGGCCUUAGCCGUAGCAGCGGAUAGGGUCCUUGCAGCUCUUUGCAGGAGAUUGCGCAUUGCCAUACAUGCCACCUUUAGCUAGAUAGUGCUGAUGGUAUUCUUCAGCUUUGUAGAACUUCUUUGCUGGUAAGAUCUCAGUCACAAUCUUCUUCUCAAGUUUUGUCUGCUGAUUCUCAAGAGAUUGAUGUGCAAGUUUCUCUUGCUCUGGUGUAUAGAAGUAUAUCCCUGAUCGGUAUUGAGCUCCCACAAGCUCUCCCUGCAACAUUUAAACAUCAAAGGAAUGGUUAUCAAAAAGUAGUUUUUUGAAAAAAAAAUUAAAAAAUCAAAAAGGUAGUUUAACGAAACAAGAAAUCAAAAACCAACAGUGAAAAUCGAUCUCACCACCUUACGUCGCCUAUAGAUUUUUUUUUAUUUGAAUGAAUGUAAAAUUUAUGUGAAAACUUUUUUUUUGUCUGAAUAAAUUUUACAUUCGUUAAAAAAAAAUGAUACCUGGCGAUUUAAGGUGGUGGGAUCAUGCCUAGACCAGAACAAAUCAAGCAGGGUCUCAUAGCUGCACUCAUUGGGAUCAUACUGAACCCUUACAACCUCUGCAUGGUUCGUUUUGUUCGUGCGGACAACCUCGUAUGAAGGAUUGUGAGAGAUCCCAUGAGUGUACCCAACCUCAGUCUUAGUCACGCCAGGGAUCCUCUGGAAAGCAAGCUCCAGUCCCCAGAAACAUCCAGCGGCGAACUCAGCAAACUGGCUUCCCGGUGCCGGUACAUCGUUGUCAGGCUCCUGUGCUAUCGGAGAAGGAACAAUAACAGGUUGAUCUACUAACUGAGGCUCUUCUUGAGCUAUAGGAGAAGGAUCCGUUGUAGGUGUAUUUAAUAACUUGGACUCUUCUUGAGCUAUAGAAGGAUCCAUUUUGCUAGAUUGAUAUGAGAUAGAGAUCAGUCUGUUGUUUAUAUAGCUACCUACCUAAAGGCUGAAUAGCUUAAUUAUUGGCACACAAGAAAAAUACAUAAUAAUUUGGUGAAUUAUGGCUUUUUAUAAGAUGUCUACGGUAUAUUUUCUUUUAAAAGAUUCCACCCACCAUUCUAUAAAAGUCACGUUUAUUUCUGUAUUAAAGCUACAAAAUCAAAUUGACAAUAAGAAACUUAUGAGACUGUAGCCUUAAGUGUCUUAAAGUGAAACUAUUUAAGUGGCCUAAAGUGAAACUAAGCCAAACUCUAUCAGACUUUAUCUUUUCUCAUCCACAAGAUCCGCUCAAUAAUUCAAGAACAUCAACAAAUAAUGGAAUAACUAACAGAAUAAAUAAAAGAUAUUAUUGAUUCUUUUAAAUUGUCACUUAUUCAUUUUGAAUUUUUCAAAAAAGUAACAAUAUUAUUAAAUCUUUUAUUAUGAACUGAGAAUUACAAAUCAACUACACACACAUAGAGAGAACACUCCUCUGUUUUUGUCGGAGAGAGGAACAAAGAAGGAAUAACCGCAAGUCGGCAGGUGUAUCUACUAACUGAAGUUCUUCUUGACCUAUCAAAGGAUCCAUUUUGCUAGAUCAAUAUGUGAAAAGGAUCAGAUUAGUGAUGUUCUUAAAGUGUGUAUUGUUGUUGAUGGUGAAGCAAAUGGCAAUAAGAGAAACCUUAUCCAUCCUUUUUUUUAUUCCAUAAGAUUCGCUCAAGUCUUUAAAUUCAAUAAUUCAAUAACAUCAAUAGACAUUUAUAGUCUCUAACAUGAUACACGAAAGUAACUUGUUACACUUAUUAGGGAUUUGGUCGUGUAACAAACACGUCUCUAAACUCCUCUGUCUUGGGAGAGGAAACUCAGCAUUUUCAAGCCGUAGCAGCGCUGCACAUGAGUGGACUAUUACAGGCUAUGCCACAGGACUGCCCACCCUUUGACAGGUACUGCUGAUGAUACUCCUCAGCUCUGUAGAAUUUCUUAGCUGGUAGAAUCUCAGUCGUGAUCUUACUCUCCAUUUGUUUCUGGUGACGUUCCAUUGACUCCACCGCUAGUUUCUCCUGCUCAGGUGUGUAGAAGUAUAUCCCUGAUCUGUAUUGGGUUCCCACAUCUUUUCCCUGAUCACAGUUUUAAGUCAUUAGCCACGGUAAAAAAUAGUCAAGGGAUAGUUUCACUACACAGAUAUGUUAUUAUAAUAAGUAUUGUUCUCUAUCUAAAGUCUUAAAACUUUAAAAAUUUAGCAAUCUCCAGCAUAAAAAGUUUAAAUCUUUGGACCAAGUUAAGAGAAACCCAUAACGUACCUGGCGAUUCAAGGUGGUGGGGUCAUGUCUAGACCAGAAGACAUCAAGCAGAGACUCAAAGUUAUUGAAUUGUAAACUUAUGAUCCAAGACAAUGAUCCCAACAAGUACUCACUUUAUUAAGAUCUCAAACUCAAACUCACAAGUUAUGCCACAAUCAUAGCAUCUCCUUAUAUAUCUCUUUUAGUUCCUAAACUCAUUAGAAAACAUAUCUUAUAGAUAACUAUCAAUCUAUAUAAUCCUAAUCUCAUUAGGAUAACUUCUACUCUAAGUUAUCUUCAAGCUUAAGUCAACAUUCUCCCCCUUAAGCUUGAACUCACCAUUUGACACAUCUUGAACUCCAAUGAGACUUCUCAUGUCUUUAAACUUGAUUCUCCCAAGUGCUUUGGUUAGUAUAUCAGCCUUCUGCUCUGUCCCGGCCACAUGCUCAACGAUCACUAAGCCCUUUUCAACGCACUCUCUUAUGAAAUGGAACCUUGUGUGUAUGUGCUUACUACGUCCAUGAAACACCGGAUUCUUGGCAAGUGCGAUUGCCGAUUUGUUAUCAAUACGAAUCACUGUUUUUCCGACUCCAUCUUCAGUAAUCUCUUCAAGUAACUCCUGCAGCCACAAAGCUUGUUUUGCUGUCUCUGUCGCAGCCAUAUACUCAGCCUCACACGAGGACAAGGCAACAAUUUCUUGCUUUUGAGAGCACCAAGUCACAGGACAAGAGUUUAAGUAGAAGAUAUGACCUGUUGUGCUCUUGCCAUCGUCAGGAUCCACAUUGUAGCUACUGUCACUGUAUCCUAUUAGUUCCUUCAUACCGUUGUUCUCAUAGUAAAGCCCAAGAGAGCACGUUCCCUUCAAGUACCGAAGGACUUGUUUCAGUGCAGCUCCAUGAGAGCUUCUUGGAUCAUGCAUAUAGCGGCUUAACACUCCAACACACUGAGCAAGAUCUGGUCUGGUAUGAAUCAAGUAUCGAAGACAGCCAAUGUUACGCCUAAACUCUCUCUCGUUUAUCGUUGCCUCCUCUGCACCUUUGCAAAGCUUUACCCCUGGCUCCAUUGGAAUGUGUACAGCGUUACACUCAGACAUUCCCGCUUCUUCAAGUAUUUUCAUAGCAUAUCUCUCUUGUUUCAGCGUCACUCCAUCUUUAGUCUGGAUAACCUCAAUCCCAAGGUAAUAGUUAAGUUUCCCGAGAUCACUCAUCUCGAACUUACUUCCCAUCUCCUCCUUAAAACCUCUUAUGUCAUCACCCUUAGUUCCUGUGACGAGUAAAUCAUCAACAUAAACUGCAACAAGAAGUAGUGAGUGUUUUGUCUUUCUCUGAUACAAUGAGGACUCCUUGGAACAACGUGUGAACCCAAGCUCUUUUAGAAUCUGAUUUAGCUUGAUAUUCCACGCCCUUGGGGCCUGUUUCAAGCCGUAGAGGGCUUUAUGCAGUUUGUAUACCUUGUGUUCACUUCCUUUGAUCUUGAAUCCUUCUGGUUGUGAAACGAAAACUUCUUCUUUUAACUCACCGUGAAGAAACGCGGUUUUCACAUCAAGGUGAUGUAUCUCCCAACCACUGGACGCAGCUAAGGCUAUAAUUACUCGUACCGUCUCUAACCUUGCGACUGGAGCGAAGACUUCAUCGAAGUCAACACCGUGGCGUUGCACAUAACCUUUAGCUACUAGCCUUGCUUUAAACUUGUUAACGCUACCAUCCGCAUUACGCUUAACUUUGAAGACCCACUUUAACCCAAUUGCUUUGCUUCCUUCUGGUAGAUCAACAAGAGUCCAAGUUUUAUUCUUCUUAAUAGAAGUAACUUCUUCCUCGCACGCAUUCCUCCAUACCUUCUGAUCUUUUGCCUCGUUCCAGUCCCACGGUUCCUCAUCAAUAAGCAACAGAACGCGUUCAAUCUCUUCUAUCUCAGACAUCAGCACAUAAUCAUCCAAGUAACUUGGUCUUGACGUUUGCCUUGUCGAUCUUCUCAAGAUCACUUGAUCCUCUGUUUCCUCUGUUUCUUCAGUUUCCUCAUCAUUGCUAGACGCGUGCUCACUCUCGUCUUCCUCAGCAACUGUAUCAGAGGUAGAUUCACUACUUGCCAUUGGAAGUGUUAUCAGAGUAGGCUUGUCAGUUUCCUUCUCAUUCCACUUCCAUUUUUUGCUUUCAGCAAAGAUCACAUCUCUGCUCACAACAACUCUUCGAUUUGUAGGAUCGUAUAAGCGGUAUGCUUUUGACCCUGGUUCGAUUCCUAAGUGUACCAGCUCUCUGGAUCUGUCGUCUAACUUCUUGAGAUGUGGUGCCUCGUUCUUAGCGUAGCAGACGCAGCCAAAUACCCUCAGAUGUCCAACGUUUGGCUUCUUCUUUUUGUAGCACUCAUAUGGUGUUUGUAGUCUCAGAGUUCUUGUCGCAACUCUAUUGAUAAGAUAUGUUGAGUGCCUCACAGCUUCGCCCCAUAAGUAACUUGGCACACUCAUAUGUUUCAUCAUGCUGCGGGUCAUCUCCAUUAGAGUACGGUUUCGUCUCUCAACGACUCCGUUUUGCUGAGGUGAAUACGGUGCCGUCAAGUGACGUUUUAUUCCAUGCUGGUCACAGAAGGUUUGGAACUCUUGAGAAGUGAACUCACCACCCCUAUCAGUUCUGAAUGUUCCAAUGAUACUUCCUGUUUCUUGCUCCACAAGUCUUUUGAAGAUUCUGAACUUCUCGAAAGCUUCCCUUUUCUCCUCCAACAAUAUAGACCACAUAUAACGUGUAUGAUCAUCAAUCAAUACGAACACAUACCUCUUCUUGCCUGCCGUUGUUGGAGAUAUUGGUCCACAAAGGUCUCCAUGAAUGAGCUCCAGGACGUGUGAGGCACGGUAUGCAGUGGCCUUGGGAAAGCUUUUCCGUGUCUGCUUUCCUAGCAGACAAGAAGCGCAAGUCUCAUUCUCAAUGCUCAGAUUAGGUAUACCUGUAACUACCUCUUUAUUCAUCAUACUCCGCAUGGUGUCUCGGUUUACAUGCCCAAGUCUCGCAUGCCAAACAGCUGAAUCAUCGUCUCUCUCGACCUGAAGACACCUAGUAUUGUCAACCUCCAUCGUCACUUUAUACAGCCGAUUCUUGGACCUGAUGGCUUUUACCAGUAGGUUCCCGUCACGAUCAAGCAACGUGAGAUAGUCUUUUCUCAUUCGUACAUCACAGCCAGACUCUGUAGCUUGUCCAAGACUGAUAAUAUUGCUCUUCAAGUCUGGUAUAAAAUACACAUCGGCCAAGAUCUUCUUCUUUCCAUCCUUGCUUAUGAAAAUAAUUGAACCUUUUCCUUUGAUGUCUAUGCGCGAGUCAUCCCCAAAUCUUACUUUCCCUGUGAUUCUCUCAUCAAUCUUCGCAAAAUAGUCUCUGUUUCCUGACAUGUGGUUGCUUGCGCCAUUGUCUAAGUACCACACAUUGUCUUUAUCAGUGUGUGUCUCGAACUUGCUUGGUGUCACAUUCUCCUCAUUUAAGUACACAACUUCAUUCAUCAUCAGUUCCUCAGCUUCAUGUGUGCUCUCAGCAUCAUUCUCUUGUGUUUCUUGGAGUUUCAGCAACCGGUCUGGGCACAGAUAGGCAUAGUGUCCAGUUUUAUCACACCUGAAACAGACCACUCGGGACGUGUCUCUGCCUUGCUUCCAGUCUUGCUGAUUGUUGUAACGUCCACGCCCUCUUCCCCUGUUACCAAAACGUCCACCACGUCCUCUUCCUCUUCCAUAGGUUUCUGUUUGUGAUUGGGAAUCUGCAUUGGCGUACAUGAGUUUUCCUUGAUCAUCGGGCUGAUCAUCAUCUACGAUCCUCUCCUCAUAGGCUUUUAGUCUUCCCACAAUAUCCUCAAAGCUGGUGGUGUUGAGGUUUAGGACCUGUUCAAGAGCAGCUAUGAUAUGUAUAUAUUUCUUCCUUGGAAGACUGUGAAGAAAUUUCUUGACAAGUUUAGAUUCCUCUAUGUCUUCUCCUAAGGCUGAGGAUUUUGAAGACAUCUCUGCGAGUUUACCGGAGAAAUCAUCAAUAGUUUCUGUUUCUUUCAUCUUCAAUCGACUAAACUCAUCCAUGAGUGUUUGUAAUCUAGCCUCACGAACUCUGUCAGCUCCCACAUGUCUUGCCUUUAUUGCUUCCCACACAAGUUUUGAUGUCUCAAGAUCGCCUACUUGCAGAACUAGGGCUUCCGGUAUGGACUGAAACAACAAAGCACGAGCCAUAUCGUUCUUAUCUCCAUCAUCUAUCCCUGGUUCUAUUGUUUCCCACACUUUAUGUACCUUGAGCGCCACCUUCAUCCUCAUACUCCACACGGUGUAGUUGGUGGCAGUGAGCAUAGGACAUUGGAUUGUCGUAGUAUGCGCCUUUGGUUUGAUAGUUGUCGCAACUAUAUCUUUGUCACCCAUGUUGUCUCACAAACCUUCUCUUCUUGGAUUUUGUUUAAGAAUUCAAUAGAAUGCUCUGAUACCAAUUAUUGAAUUGUAAACUUAUGAUCCAAGACAAUGAUCCCAACAAGUACUCACUUUAUUAAGAUCUCAAACUCAAACUCACAAGUUAUGCCACAAUCAUAGCAUCUCCUUAUAUAUCUCUUUUAGUUCCUAAACUCAUUAGAAAACAUAUCUUAUAGAUAACUAUCAAUCUAUAUAAUCCUAAUCUCAUUAGGAUAACUUCUACUCUAAGUUAUCUUCAAGCUUAAGUCAACAAAAGUUGCACUCUUUGGGAUCAUACUGAACCCUGACAACCUCUGCAUGGUUCGUUGUGUUCGUGCAGACAUCCUCGUAUGAAGGAUUGUGGAGGAACCCUUGGGUGUAUCCAACCUCCGUAUGAGUCACACCGGAGACUCUCUGAAACGCCAGCUCCACGCCCCAGAAGCAUCCAGCGGCGAACUGUGCAAAUUCAUUACCCGGCGCCGGGGCGUCAUUGUCGUUUCCCUGAGUGAUAGCAGAAAGAUUCAUCGCUAAGUUUUCUAGAGAGGAAAAAAAAGUUUUUAGAGAGAAUAUUUAAGUUUAUUAUGUAAUUGCAUCCAGAUACCCUCCUCCAUACAUGAACUAUAUAUACCACCUGUAAUCCUGUAUAGUUAACCUUAGAGUGUAUAUACUAUUUAUUCCUGUCCAUAUACACGAUCUAUAAAUAUCACAUGCAUAGUUAUCACUAAAGACAAUAUUAGAGUGUAUAUGCUAUGUAAUUCCGUCCGGAUACACUCCAGACAUGAUCUAACUAUAAAUAUCACGUGUUAGAUAACGUUAUUUGACCCAAAAAAAAAAAGAUAACGUUAAGAGUGUUUAUAUUAUGUACUUCCGUCCAGAUACACUCCAUAACUAUGAAUAUCACGUGUUAGUUAACAAUCACAGGUGACGAGGCAGGUGUAUCUAAUAACUUAGACUCUUCUUGAGCUAUAGAAGGAUCCAUUUUGGUAGAUUCAUAUGAGAAAAAAUCAGUCACUUGUUUAUAUAGGAAGAGUCAGUCAGAGAUUAACACCACCUAUGACCUACAUAAAGGCUGAAUAGCUUUUUUAUUGGCACACAAGAAAAAUACAUAAUAUUUUGGUGAAUUAUGUUUUUGAUAAGAUGUCUACAGAAUAUUUAUAAAAACAAAAAAAAAUCUACCCACCAUUCUAUAAAAGUCACAUUUAUUCUAUAUUAAAGAUAUAAAAUCAAAAUUGAGAAUAAGAAACUUUAUGAGACUUUAGCCAUAAGUGUCUUAGAAAAUAUUAGCGGAAAUUAGAUUUAUACAGUUUGUUGAUUUCAAAAGUAUGGAGAUUUGUUGAAUUUGGAAAUAAUUUGAAAAAAUUGUGUACAUUUUAAAAUCUAUGAAAACAAAUAAUCUUAAUAAUUUUAAGAAUCUAUAAACCAAUAACGCUACAUUUUUGAAAUUCUAACAAUUAUUACAAUGUAACUCCCAUUAAAGUGAAACUAUAUAAGUGGCCUAAAGUGAAAUCAACUCAAACUCUAUCAGACUUUUUCUUUUCUCAUCCACAAGAUUCGCUCGAUCAUUCAAGAAAAUAAACAAAUAAUUGUAUAAAAACGUUACUCAUGCAAACGAAAGUUAUUGGUUACAUUCCUAUUAGAGAUAGCAAUUUUUGGCUGGUGUUCAUUUUGUGUAACAUACACUGUUACAGAAUUGCAAAUAAAAGUUACAUACGUGUUGUCUAACCAACCUCAUCAGUUUUACAUUCACAAGUCUACGAUAUCCUCUGUUUAGGGAGAUAAGCAGAGGAACUCAGCUCUUUAGCUAGCCGUAGCAGCAAACUGAACCGUUGCAGGCUUUGCCACAGGACAAACAUCGUUAUUAUUUCUUUCUCUGUUUUUAAAUAAAAUGAAUAACUAACAGAAUAAAAUAAAAGAUAUUAUUGAGUUUUUUGUGAUUUAUUCAUUUCGAAAUUUUCAAAAAAAAGUUGUAACACUUUCACAUCUUUGUUAUGAACUGUGAAUUAUAAUCAACAACACACACACAUACAGAGAACACUCCUCUGUUUUGGUAGGAAAAGGAACAAAGAAGGAAUUACCCGAGGUGUAUCUACUAACUUAGAGCAUCUUUAUUCCCAUCCCACAUUUUUGUUAAAACUCCUUUCUUCCUCCUCUUAUUAAGAGGCAAGUUUGUUGGAAUUUUUGUACUGUUCGCGAACUUACUGAUAUGUGGCCGUCGCGAUAGAUUAAUUUUUUUUUUUUUUUUUAAAAGUAAAAAAUAAAAAAAAUAAGAACUUAAACGGAGUUUUAGGGAUAAUGAUGCUCUUAGGCUCUUCUUGAGCUGUCAAAGGAUCCAUUUUGCUAGAUCACUAUGUGAAAGAAAGGAUCAGAUUGGUGAUGUUGUUAAAGUGUUGUAUUGUUGUUGAUGGUGAAGAAAAUGGCAAUAUGAGAAACCUUAUCCAUCAUAUUAUUUUUUUCAUCCAUAAGAUUCGCUCAAAUCUAAAGAAUCAAUAAUUCAAUAACAUCAAUACAUUUAUAUAGUCUCUAACAUUGAAACACGAAAGUAACUUGUUACACUUAUUAGGCAUUUGGUUGAUGCUCAUAUUGUGUAGCAAACAAGUCUCUAACGUCCUCUAUUUUGGGAGAUAAGCAGAGGAAACUCAGCAUUUUUAAGCCGUAGCAGCGCUGCACAUGAGUGGACUGUUGCAGGCUAUGCCACAGGACUGCCCACCCUUUGACAGGUACUGCUGAUGAUACUCCUCAGCUCUGUAGAAUUUCUUAGCUGGUAGAAUCUCAGUCAUGAUCUUACUCUCCAUUUGUUUCUGGUGACGUUCCAUUGACUCCACCGCUAGUUUCUCCUGCUCAGGUGUGUAGAAGUAUAUCCCUGAUCUGUAUUGGGUUCCCACAUCUUUUCCCUGAUCACACUUUUAAGUCAUUAGCCACGGUAAAAAAUAGUCAAGGGAUAAUUUCACUACAUAGAUAUGUUAUUAUAAUAAGUAUUGUUCUCUAUCUAAAGUCUUAAAACUUUAAAAAUUUAGCAACUUCAACGUAAAAAGUUUAAAUCUUUGGACCAAGUUAAGAGAAACCCAUAAUGUACCUGGCGAUUCAAGGUGGUGGGGUCAUGUCUAGACCAGAAGACAUCAAGCAGAGACUCAAAGUUGCACUCUUUGGGAUCAUACUGAACCCUGACAACCUCUGCAUGGUUCGUUGUGUUCGUGCAGACAUCCUCGUAUGAAGGAUUGUGGAGGAACCCUUGGGUGUAUCCAACCUCCGUAUGAUUCACACCGGAGACUCUCUGAAACGCCAGCUCCACGCCCCAGAAGCAUCCAGCGGCGAACUGUGCAAACUCAUUUCCCGGCGCCGGAACGUCAUUGUCGUUUCCCUGAGUGAUAGCAGAAAGAUUCAUCGCUAAGUUUUCUAGAGAGAUUAUUAGAGUUUAUGUAUAUUUUUUUGAGAAUGGAGUUUAUGUAUUUGCAUCUAGAUACACUCCAUACAUGACCUAUAUAUACCACCUGUAUAGCUAACCAUGGAGUGUAUAUACUAUGUGUUUCCGUCCAGAUACACGAUCUAUAAAUACCACAUGCCAUAGUUAUCAUUUAAGACGAUAUUAGAGUGUAUAUGCUAUGUAAUUCCAUCCAGAUACACUCCAUUCAUGAUCUAACUAUAGAUAUCACGUGCUAGAUACAGUUAAAAAGCAUUAGAGUGUAUAUCCUUUGUAUUUCCGGCCAGAUACACUGCAUACAUGAACUAUAAUUACCACCUGUAUUUUUUUUUUUGAACUAGAACAACAGCUGUCUUGUUUUUUUUAUCUAGAAUAACACCUGUAUUGUUUUUUUUUGACCGAAAGACUAAUAACACCUGUAUUGUUAACAUUUUUUUUUUGUUAAGUAUGUGAAUUUCAUUAACUUAAUAAUGAGGCAUAGAGAUACAAUGGACUUCGACUGAUCUAAUCCUAUUGAAUCUAAGUCGCUAAGUCAACAAGACAAAGCAAUGGAGCCAUAGUAAGCCACAAAAAAAGUAAAAAGACUCACUAAGACUAAGAAGGCUCAGUCACAACCAUGAGGCUGCGAGAAAGCUUAGCUAGUUUAAUAGAUCCUAAGACAACCAUUUAGCUAACAGGAGACCAGAGAGAAGAUCUUGAAGUCGGCACCUGCAUCAAGAUCACUCGGGUCAGUAGAGAAUCGCAACCGGAGAACAGUCCGAGGAGCCGCAGACUAUCCCGAAGGCGACAUCAAAAGAAGGACAGGCGAAGCAGGAUUGGCAAGCCCUGGUCCGGCCAUCGCAAGCAAAUGAAGUCCACUCCAGACGUUGCUAUCUCAAGAAACUGCUACACCAUACUCUGAGAAUCCUAGCCGAUGUAGAGAAACCGGUAUAUGAAGCUAAGGUGAGUACUUGCAGGUGGAAGCAGAGGUUUAAACGGCUGGACUCUGGUCCCACCACACAAGCAGAGCACGAGGGAUUCCGGCCACAGAACACCAAGAGAGGCAGAGGACAACAACCAGCUUCCUUCUGAAGCUUGAAGAACAGAGGAACAAGAGCUCCUUACAGCAGGCGAAACAGGAGGAGAGACCCAUCAUAGGAAGUCAGAUGAGCAGAGUAACGGCACGAAACUCCAAUCCAACCCAAUCCCAAACAGAUCGAAACCAAAAGAAACACCAGGUGGUUGUCGAGGAACCAUUACCGAAAAAGAAGUCCCCGACGGUGAGCCUCGAACCGUCUUUUCAACUUGGAACAAGAGGGGGAAGUUCUUACCAAAGCAUCGCAAGCGGAGACAGGGGAGAGACAGAGGAGGCAGUAUACUGACCAGAACGGCGAAGGCAGCGACGCAAGGCCACUCCGGCGAACCCUCCAGGAGAGAUCUGACCCAGAUCUACUCCGGGCGAAACCCUAGAUCUACCAGUUUGACGACGCCUCCAGCUCAGAUCCGGCUCACCACGACAUCGCCAUCUCUCCAGGGAAGCUGAGGACACCCACAGCCACCGGUUUGAAUCGCCUGGUCCGGCCGCAACCCAGCGAUAAACAGAGGAGAUGAAGCAAGGAGGAAGUGGAAGAGACCGAAGCAUGAGAGGGCAGAGGCUAGGAAACGGUGACGAAACGGGGUGGCGACCGACGGGUAGAGACCCUCCGUCGGCCACCGGAACGAGAGGCAAGAGGAGAUGUCGAAGCGGAGAGUUGGUGGGGAGAGAAGAUCGAGAGAAAAGACUCUCUCACCUCUCUCUAACUUCUGCCAAACUCUAAUUCACUAUUGUUAACAUUAAAAUGAACAUUGGAGUGUAUAUACUCUGUCUGUCCGUCCAGAUACACUACGAACUAUAACGAGAGAGGUGCAGCGAAACGGAACACGGGUCUUAGUAUUACUGUUCGUUGCGUUCGCGUUUUGGUAGCGAUCGCGAUUAGAAACGGCGAGUUUGAAUCGCUAUGGUAACUGAACUUGGAAAGUGACAAAGGUCCAGCGUAUGCUAAGUUGAACCAAGAAGUUUAGGUGGAAAUCUAACCAAUAUUGUUUAUAUCUCAACUGAUUAUUUAUUUGUCAUCCAAAUGGAAAAAAAAAAAUAGUAUGAAACAAAAUUUAAUAUGCAACUGAAUCGAUCAUGCACCAGUUUAAUGUAAUCAAAAUGAAAUUAAUUUUGUAAACCGAAAUUAAAUUGUUCAUAUGUAUAGAUAACUAGAGAAAACUUUAAAUAUAUUUUAUUAUCAUUUCUUACAAUAUAUUUAUCCAAAAUUACACACCACCAACAUUUUUGGUUUCUGCUUAGUCAUAACUCUUCAAGCCAAUUGAACCAAAACAACAAAAAUAUAUCAAACCAGGCCGAAUACUCACUUUAUUCACUCUCGUCGUACGCAUUUAAAUUAGAGAAUAUAUUUAUAUACUAUGUCUUAAAAAAAAGAAAAAAAAAAUAUAUAUAUAUAUAUAUAUAUAUUUACACCAGUAUUAUAUGCUCAAUUCUUUGUAGGAGCACAUUUUAUAUUUAUCAAUAGCAUUUAAAUGGUGCAGAUACGAGUCUUACUGCACUCAGAGCAUGAGCAGCAGCGAACCUUGCAAUUCCCGAUUUCCAAUGUUUUUUUUUAUUAUUUUAAUUUGUUUUUUUCGUUUGAUUUAAAAAAAAAAAUAUAAACGAAUCUAUCGCGGGCCGCCACGUGUCGUGGGGUCCGCAGAACAGUAACGAGACGAUAUCACUCCAGCGAACCUGCACGAGCCGGGUUCAUUAAAAUUUGAUUAUUUUAAUAUUUUUCUGCCUCAAAAAUCGUGUGAACUCUAGUCUUGAUUCUUCAAUGCGGAUGGUCUCAAUUCAUUAAGGCUCUAACCUUCGACCACCCUAUUGCCGAGCUCUACGGCAUCAUCGUAACUGACAUUGAAGCUGUUGCUUUAUCCUUUGAUUUUGUUUCUUUUACUUGGAUCUCUCACGAGUCACGAGAGAAACAUAGAUGCGGAUUUAUUGGCUAAACAUGUUUUGUCUGCUGAGUUUAAGGCGCUGAGUUAGCCUUAGAGCACCAUUAACCUAGCACCCCAAGUGGGGUGCUUAUUUUAUUUUUAUUUUUUAGUUUUUUGUCUGAUUUUUUUUUUAAAAAAAAAAAUUAAAAACGAGCCAAUCACGGACCGCCACGUGUUAGUGGGGCCCGCGAAACAGUACAAGAUCCAACAAAACCCGACGCUUAAUCUGGCGUCUUUGACGUCGCUGCUUCGUCUUUUGCCGUGGAGCCCACCCUUUAGCACUUCUCUAAGCGUCCCCGUUAAUCCUGCUCUUAAUGGCCUCACCAAACAAUGGUUAAAAACUUAAAAUAUUGAAUGAAUGAAAGUAAGUGUUUCAAAAGAAAAAUAGUGUAGAUAUACUUGGUUUUUUGUCAAAUAGAACAUAUGUGUUACUUAUUGUGAAUGAUUAAGAUUAAAAUCUACUAAGAUAGAAGAUAUUUUACUAAUUAAGAACGAUUGAAUAAUUAGAAAUCUUAUUCCUCAUCAAAAGAGCAGAGCUAUCGACAAAGUCAUUUGAAACCGCAUCCUAUCUCUGAACUACUCCACAACUCCAAGGCUGCACGGCUUACUCAGACGUUGGUAUCUUAUCCCCGGCAACUGAUAGCUAAGGCAUUAUCUUUCAUUGUUUGCUCUUUCCAUCUGUAAAUGACUAUAUUGUUUUAAAUUACUCAAUAAAUUUGAAAUUUCAAGAAAAUAGUUAGAAAGCUUAAAAAAAACAUACACAUUUUUAGGAAACAUACACUUUUGUGUUCGCAUUCAGUUUGAAGUUUUCAAAAAAGUUGUUAACAUUUCUACAUCUUAUUAUGCACUGAGAAAUACAAAUCAACAACACACACAAGCAAACAAACAAAAAAGGAUCAGUUGCAGCCUUGCAGGUGUAUCUACUAACUUAGGCUCUUCUUGAGCUAUCGGAGAAGGAACAGUUGCAAGUAAAUCUACUAACUCAGGUUCUUCUUUCAGCAUCAAAGAAUCCAUUUUGAUAGAUCAAUAUGUGAAAGAAAGGAUGGGACUAGUGAUUUUCUUAAAGUGUUGUAUUGUUGUUGAUGGUGAAGCAAAUGGCAAUAAGAAACCUUAUUCAGCAUAUUAUUUUUUCAUCCAUAAGAUUCGCUCAAAUCUAAACAAUCAAUAAUUCAACAACAUCAAUAGACAUCUUUAUAGUCUCUAACAUGAAACAAGAAAGUAACUUGUUACACUUAUUAGGGAUUUGGUUGAUGUUCAUAUUGUGCAACAAACAAGUCUCUAACAUCCUCUGUUUUGGGAGAGGAAACUCAGCAUUUUUAAGCCAUAGCAGCGCUGCACAUGAGUGGACUGUUACAGGCUAUGCCACUGCAGGACUGCCCACCCUUUGACAGGUACUGCUGAUGAUACUCCUCAGCUCUAUAGAAUUUCUUAGCUGGUAGAAUCUCAGUCAUGAUCUUACUCUCCAUUUGUUUCUGGUGACGUUCCAUUGACACCGCCGCUUGUUUCUCCUGCUCAGGUGUGUAGAAGUAUAUCCCUGAUCUGUAUUGGGUUCCAACAUCUUUUCCCUGAUAACAGUUCAAGUCAUUAGUCACGGUAAACUACAUGUAUAUCAUGUUACACUUCACAUCAUCAAAUGUUACACAUUCGAUUUGGUAUUGCAAAUGAAUUGAAUAACUAGCAGAUUAAAAAAAAAAAUAAGCAUUGAUUUUUUUGUGUUAUGUUUUCAGUUUUAAGUUUUUAAAAAAGUUGUAACAUUUCCACAUCUUUAUUAUGAAAAUCUUAGAAUUACAAAUCAACAACACAAAAAAAAAGUCUUAAAUCGUAUAAAGUACCUGGCGAUUCAAGGUGGUGGGGUCAUGUCUAGACCAGAAGACAUCAAGCAGAGACUCAAAGUUGCACUCUUUGGGAUCAUACUGAACCCUGACAACCUCUGCAUGGUUCGUUGUGUUCGUGCAGACAUCCUCGUAUGAAGGAUUGUGGAGGAACCCUUGGGUGUAUCCAACCUCCGUAUGAGUCACACCGGAGACUCUCUGAAACGCCAGCUCCACGCCCCAGAAGCAUCCAGCGGCGAACUGUGCAAACUCAUUUCCCGGCGCCGGAACGUCAUUAUCGUUUCCCUGAGUGAUAGCAGAAAGAUUCAUCGCUAAGUUUUCUAGAGAGAUUAUUAGAGUUUAUGUAUAUUUUUUUUAGAGAAUGGAGUUUAUGUAUUUGCAUCUAGAUACACUCCAUACAUGACCUAUAUAUACCACCUGUAUAGCUAACCAUGGAGUGUAUAUACUUUGUGUUUCCGUCCAGAUACACGAUCUAUAAAUACCACAUGCCAUAGUUAUCAUUAAUUAGAGUGUAUAUGCUAUGUAAUUCCAUCCAGAUACACUCCAUUCAUGAUCUAACUAUAUUUAUCACGUGCUAGAUAAAGUUGAAAAACGUUAGAGUGUAUAUCCUUUGUAUUUCCGGCCAGAUACACUGCAUACAAGAACUAUAAUUACCACCUGUAUUUUUUUUUUGGUAAAAAAACAACACCUGUAUUGUUUUUUUUUUCUAUCUAGAAUAACACAAGUAUUGCUACCAUUAAAAAGAACAUUGGCGUGUAUAUUCAAUGUCUGUCCGUCUAGAUACACUCCAUACAUGAACUAUAACGAGAGAGAUGCGUUUUGGUAGCGAUCGCGAUUAGCAACGGGGAGUUUGAAUCGCAAUGGUCACUGAACUUGGACAGUGAAAAGUUAAGGUCCAACAUGUGUAUGCUAUUCGCUAAACUGAACCAUAUAAAGUUGAACCAAGAAGUUUAGGUCGAAAUCUAACCAAUAUAUAUAUCUCAACUGAUUUUAUUAUUUUGAGAAGACAUAGGAAAAAUUCCAUUUCUCUUGUCACUAUGGAUUCCGUAGCUUCACCGUCAAUCAACCCCUUGUUUUUUUUGCCAUGGAAACACAAAAAUAGGCUUUUCUAAAACCUAAAUCUUUCAUAUUUACGAACAUUUUAUUAAAAAAUAAAAAACUUAUUUUAUUAUUGUCAUCCAAAUGAAAAAAAAAAAUAGUGUGUCACAAAAUUUAAUAUGCAACUGAAUCGAUCAUGCACCUAGUUUAAUGUAACCGGAAUGAAUUAAUUGUAAACCGAAACUAAUUGUUUUUUUUUUUUGAGAACUCGAAAUUAAAUUGUUCAUAUCUAUAGAUACUAAAUGAUAAAUUUGUUGACAAAAAAAUGAUAAAUUUAAAUAUACUUUAUAUUUGUUUCUUACAAUAUAUUUAUCGAAAAUCACAGACAGAAUCAAACCACCAAACAUUUUUGGUUUGUGCUUAGUCAUAACUCUUCAAACCAAUUGAACCAAAACAACAAAAAUAUAUCAAGCCAGAGAAUAUAUGUACACUAUGCCUUCAAAAAAAAGAAUACAUAUAUAUACACUCCUUCUAUGUAGACGCACAUUAUAUUUAUCACUAUAAAUAUUAUACGAAAACAAUAUUUUUGAAGUAUAUAAAUGGUGUAGAUAUAUUUUUUUUUUGUUAAAUAUAAUAUGUGCUACUUAUUAUGAAUGCUUAGGAAUAAAAAAAAUAGAAGAUAUUUUAUUAAGUAUGAUUAAAUAGUUAGAAAUCUUAUUCCUGAACAAAUGAGCAGAGCUAUCGACAAAUUCAUUUGAAACCGCAUCCUAUCUCUGAACUACUCCACAACUCCACGGCUGCACUGCUUACUCAGACGUUGAUAUCUUAUCUAUGGCAAAUGAUAGCUAAAGCAUUAUGUUUCAUUUUUUGCUCUUUCCAUCUGUAAAUGACCAUAUUGUUUUAAGUUGCUCAAUAAAUUUGAAAUUUCAUGAAAAAUAGUUAGAAAACUUAAAAAUAAAAACAUACACAUUUUUCGGAAACAUACACUUUUGUGUUCGCAUUCAGUUUGAAGUUUUAAAAAAUGUUGUUAAAAUUUCCACAUCUUAUUGUGAACUGAGAAUUACAAAUCAACAACACACACAUGCUAACAAACAAAGAAGGAUCAGUUGCAGGUAAAUAUACGUAGGUUCUUCUUGAGCUAUCAAAGAAUCCAUUUUGCUAGAUCACCAUGUGAAAGAAAGGAUCAGAUUGGUGAUGUUGCGUUGUAUUGUUUGUUGAUGAUGAAGCAAAUGGCAAUAAGAAACCUUAUUCAUCAUCAUAUUAUUUUUUCAUCCAUAAGAUUCACUCAAAUCUAAACAAUCAAUAAUUCAAUAGACAUUUAUAUAGUCUCUAACAUGAAACGAAAGUAACUUGUUACACUUAUUAAGGAUUUGGUUGAUGUUCAUAUAUAUUGUGUAACAAACUCGUCUCUAAACUCCUCUAUCUUGGGAGAGGAAACUCAGCAUUUUUAAGCCGUAGCAGCGCUGCACAUGAGUGGACUAUUACAGGCUAUGCCACAGGACUGUCCACCCUUUGACAGGUACUGCUGAUGAUACUCCUCAGCUCUGUAGAAUUUCUUAGCUGGUAGAAUCUCAGUCAUGAUCUUACUCUCCAUUUGUUGCUGGUGACGUUCCAUUGACUCUGCCGCUUGUUUCUCCUGCUCAGGUGUGUAGAAGUAUAUCCCUGAUCUGUAUUGGGUUCCCACAUCUUUUCCCUGAUAACAGUUCAAGUCAUUAGCCACGGUAAAAGUAGUCA
This 74782-nucleotide long non-coding RNA is filed under the name Brassica rapa (field mustard). RNAcentral describes it as "long non-coding RNA (BRAP_LNC001692)". The record is from RNAcentral. Lineage: Eukaryota; Viridiplantae; Streptophyta; Magnoliopsida; Brassicales; Brassicaceae.